RNAcentral lists this long non-coding RNA (83873 nucleotides) under Hordeum vulgare. Its description in RNAcentral is "long non-coding RNA (HVUL_LNC003853)". The record is from RNAcentral. Lineage: Eukaryota; Viridiplantae; Streptophyta; Magnoliopsida; Poales; Poaceae.
UUGUCCGGAAAGUGCGCGAGGUGGCGACAAGCCUGCACGGUGCGGGCCCACCCCCUGGCCACGCCCUAAGGGCUUGUGGCCACCUCGUGCGCCUCCUGGACUAUGUUUUUGUUCAGGGUACUCCUUCUGAUCUAAAAAAAAUCAUUAUAUAUACUCCCGUUUGGUCUGACCCCUGCAUCACGCAAGUUUCCUAUGUUUUUUGUUUCGAGCCUGUUUCUGUUGCGGAUCUAGAUCGCUAUGACUUCUCCAAAAGCACCAAAGUACAAUAUCUUCGAGAAGGUCAUCAACCCCUACCUCACUUGAGUGCUGCAACACCCUCAAUCUAUCGAGAUGCGUGAGGGGAUGUUGCACAUCCGUGAUGUUCAGGGACCCAAGAAGACCGGAAGCGUGGAGACGAGGCUCGAAGCAAUGGAGCAACAAGACUUCAAGUGCCAAGGGAUGGUGGAGCGUGGACUAAACGCCAACCACAUGAUGAUCACAGAGUUCACCAGCAAGCACAAGAUUGAUGCGAGUGACAUUGGGAAGCACCUCUCCAGGUUCUAUGACAGGAUUGAUCAACUCCAGGCCCAGAUGUAUGACAUGCAGAACCAAACUUGUGAGUAUGAGUAUAGAUUUAAAUCAAUAAGGUUGGCUGCAGAUUUGAGGAUUCCGGAGACUCGUUCAUCUUUCCAUGAUGGAGCACCUAUGCCUUGGAAGACGGAGGAUCAAACUCAUGUUGCAACAACUCCACCAUCACCACCAAAGGAAGACAACUGAGCAUUGGUAUGGGCAAUCACCUUGGCUUGUGCCAAGCUUGGGGGAGUCGCCCCGGUAUUGUAUCACCAUCACAUCUUUUACCUUUACCUUUGUUUUAGUUUUCCUUUUCAGUUUUCUAUUUUUCUAGUAGAAUAAAAGUCUUAGUGUUUUAGUCUUGAGUUUUUCUUUGUGUCACCCCCGAUGUAUUCGAGCUCGUGAGCCAUAUAAUAAAGAGUGUCUUAGUUGAAGGGCUUUACCUCUUGCCAUGAUCAAAAGAGUGAGAAUAGAACAAAAGCAUGAAAGAUCAUGUAAUAUCUUAUCGGAAGUGAUGGCUUCACAUAUAAAAAGAAUGAGGAUUGAAACUUGUUUAGGGUAGGCAAACGUACACCUUGGUCAUGGUUGCAAUUAAUAGGAAGUGAUAAAGAAGGAGAGGUUCACAUAUAAAUAUAUCAUCUCUGACACCAUCUACGAUUGUGAACACUCAGUAAACUAUUGCGUGCCUAGAAGUAGAUGUUGGACAAGGAAGACAACAUAAUGAAUUGUGAUUGCUUGGUUUCGAACAAUGUUAUAUGAUUAGAGAUCCCAUAGCAUGUGACGAUUGCUUCCAAUUCACAAUAGCCUAACCUCCCGCACUAAGUAGAGAUACUACUUGUGCAUCCAUAAACCAUCAACCCAGUUUUGCCAUGUGAGUCCACCAUACCUACCUAUGGAUUGAAUAAGAUCCCUCAAGUAAGUUGUCAUCGGUGCAAGCAAUAAAAAUUGCUCUCUAAUAUGUCUGAUCUAUUAGUGUGUGGAAAAUAAGCUUUGUACGAACCUAUGAUGAGGAAGACAUAAAAGCGACAGACUUCAUAAUAAAGUUCUUUGUCACAGGACGCAAUAUAAAGUGGCGUUCCUCCGCACUAAGAGGACACACAUCCAAACCUCAAAAGCACAUGACAACCUCUGCUUCCCUCUGCGAAGGGCCUAUCUUGUACCUUUACUUUUUUUCCCUUGAAAGAGUCAUGGUGAUCUUCACCAAUUCCCUAUUUUGCCUUUGUCUUGUCUACCGUCACACUUGGGAAAGAUCUAUAUUCAUAUGUCAACUUGGAGGUAAGUAUUCAUGAAUUAUUAUUGUUGACAUUACCCUUGAGGUAAGCUGUUGGGAGGCAAAACUAUAAGCCCCUAUCUUUCUCUCUGUCCAACUGAAACUUUGAUCUCAUGAGUACCACGUGGGUUGUAGCAAUUGUAGAGAACGAAAGAAUGAUUGAGUUUGUGGAUUUUCUUUACAAGCUCUUAUUUGACUCUUUCUGAUGUUGUGAUAAAUUGCAAUUGCUUCAAUGACUAAAGCCUAUCGGUUGUUACUUCUCGGUAAGGUUCUUGAUCCAUGCUUUACUUUGUGAUGGAAUUAUCACUUUAGCAUGAGAGAUUAUAUGUUGGUAUUGCUGUUCUAAUCAUGAUAAUUAUGCAUGCAUGUUCGUAUCUUGUUUUGUCGACACCUCUCUCCCUAAACAUGUGGACAUAUUUAUUGAGCUAGGCUUUCGCUUGAGGAAAAGCGAGGUCUAAGCUUGUGGGAGUUGAUACGUCCAUUUUGCAUCAUGUUUUCAUGUUGAUAUUUAUUGCUUCUUGGGCUGUUAUUUCACUUCACGGUACAAUUCUUAUGCCUUUUCUCUCUUAUUUCGCAAGGUUUACAUGAAUAGGGAGAACACCGGCAAUCGGAAUUUUGGCCUGAAAGUGGAGCAAAGUUGAUAUACCUAUUCUGCGCAACUCCAAACGCCGUAAAAAUCAACGAGGAUUUUUUUCCCCAUUUAUCAAAAAUUCUGGGCCGAAGAAGUGCCAUAGGGGGCCGUGCAGGUGGCCACAAGGCUGCGCGGCACGGCCACCACCCCCCACCCCCCAAGCCGCGCCAUGAGGCCUUGUGGGCACCCUGCAGGCCCACUUGCCCCCUCUUUUGCUAUAUGAAGGGUUUCGUCUAGGGAAAAAAAUCAGGGAGGAGCUUUUUCGUGGUUUCGCCGCCGCCACGAGAUGGAACUUGAGCAGAACCAAUCAGAGCUCCGGCAGGACGAUCCUGUCGGGGAAACUUCCCUCUCGGAGGGGGAAAUCAUCGCCAUCGUCAUCACCAACACUCCUCUCAUCGGAGGGGACUCGUAACCAUCAACAUCUUCAUCAGCACCAUCUCAUCUCCAAACCCUAGUUCAUCACUUGUAACCAAUCUCCGUCUCACGAUUCCGAUUGGUACUUGUAAGGUUGCUAGUAGUGUUGAUUACUCCUUGUAGUUGAUGCUAGUUGGAUUAUUGGGUGGAAGAGUUUAUGUUCAGAUCAUUGAUGCUACUCAUUACCUCUCUGGUCAUGAAUAUGAUUAUGCUUUGUGAGUAGUUACUUUUCUUCCUGAGGACAUGGGAUAAGUCAUGCUAAUAGUAGUCAGGUGAAUUUGGUAUUCGUUCGGUAAUUUGAUAUGUUGUAUGUAGUGUUUCCUCUAGUGGUGUUAUGUGAACGUCGACAACAUAACACUUCACCAUUGUUUGGGCCUAGAGGAAGGCAUUGGGAAGUAGUAAGUAGAUGAUGGGUUGCUAGAGUGACAGAAGCUUAAACCCUAGUUUAUGCGUUGCUUCAUAAGGGGCUGAUUUGGAUCCACUAGUUUAAUGUUAUGCUUAGACUUUGUCUUAAUUCUUCUUUCGUAGUUGCGGAUGCUUGCGAGAGGGGUUAAUCAUAAGUGGGAUGCUUGUCGAAGUAAGUACAGCACCCAAGCGCCGGUCCACCCACAUAUCAAACUAUCAAAGUAACCAACGCGAAUCAUAUGAACAUGAUGAAAACUAGCAUGACAGAAAUUCCCGUGUGUCGUCGGGAGUGUUUUUCCUCCUGUAAGACUUUGUCCACACUUGUCCCUUGCUACAAAAGGGAUUGGGACACUUCUCUGCACCGUUUCUACAUUUGUUACUUGUUGCUUGCUAUGAAUCAUCUCACCACACAAUCACUUGUUACCGACAAUUUCAGUGCCUGUAGAUUUUACCUUGCUGAAAACCACUUGUCAGAUCCUUCUGCUCCUCGUUGGGUUCGACACUCUUACUUAUCGAAAGGUCUAUGAUUGGUCCCCUAUACUUGUGGGUCAUGAGACCCACCGGCUAUCCAAUAAGGCUCUCACGUAAGGUUGACGCAGGACACGUGUGGUAUGUGUGACAUCGUCCAGCGAGAUUCGUCAUGGGCAAACUGUACGGCCGUCUGCACUGUUCCCACACCAAGUGCAGUAAUGGAGUAGGAGUUUGACGGGCCGACACUGUGCAGGGUGAUGGAUCAGAGCCGGAGGAGGUCACCGGCAUGGCCGCCGACGCUGUACCUGUCGUGCACCCCGAUCCAGUACCUUGGCUGACGUGUAGCCACCUUUAACCGUAGGGCUCGUCAUGACCUAUGAUCUGAUGUGACUUGAGCUCCCUAGCCGGCUAGUCGCUUGACUAGCCGGCCUGGGCAUGACCGCCUCGCCUCUAGCCAGCCGGCUUGGCCUAGACGGCCAGAGGGAGGUAGCCGUCUCGCCUAUAGCCGGCAGGAGCUUCCUGGCCGACCAGAGAAUUGGCUGCCUCGCCCCCAGCCGGCAUGUGCUUCCUUGCCGGCCAUGGGGACUUUGGCUUAACAGAAUGGUUCGUCCUGUUCCUUCAUUGUAGAAGGCAAAGGAGUAGGCUCGAUGAGUCUACCCCGGGGUUAUCCCCCCGACAUCAUGGCUUUGUCAGCUUCCUCUUGCUGAUAAGGCAACGGUGGUGUACAGUGAUAAUGUCUCUAUCAUCUACCUCGCCGCCAACCCAGUCCAUCAUCACUUCACCAAGCACAUUGAGUUUGAUAUUUAUUUUGUUCGGCAAUAUGUGGCCCUUGGUCAUGUACGUGUUUUACACGUCCCUACUUCCCAACAAUUUCUGGAUGUCAUGACCAAGGGCUUGCCUAUGGUGUCAUUUGAGGAUUUCAGGUCCAACCUUUGAAUCAGCACUGGUGACUCUUCGACUGUGUGUGGGUAGGUGUUUAGUAUAUUUGCCAUCUAUAUUUGUAUACCUCGCCCACCUCAUAGAUCCUUGUAUAGUUGAGGUUGUGUCCCACUUUGUACAUCAUAUAUGCGUGUGCUUACACCCGAUCAAUACAUCGAGAGUUGCAUCGUAAUUGUCUACACCUACAACCACUCUACAAAAAUUACAGGCCAAGUACACACCAGUUUAUUCAUGUACCGACCGACCACACUCGCAUAUAUAUGGUCGGUGUAUUUGCACUCGAGCAUAGUAUAAACUGCACAUCAAUAGGUGAUGUCCGAUGGCGAGCAACGGCCGACCGACUUGGGUGGGAGUAUCCCGUAUGCAACAGCAAGGCGAUGUAUUGAAAGGCAACAAACGAUGACAGGGGUAGGAGUACACAUCAACGAGGAGCCAGCCUGUUGGAACGGGCUAUUGUACAUCAAGAUACAACCAAUUUGGGGUGGGGGUACCUUUCUACAGUCGCAAUAGGAUACAAUGCAUUGACAACCAACCAAUUACUAUGCUACUAUAGCAAUGUGGUGUGGUACAUAUUUUACCCCUGUAGCAGCCCCUCUACCACUUGCAUCGCUCCGGCGGGCGACCGAGAUGGAAACCCUAGCCUUCGGCGCCUCGGUCCACAUUCUCUCCCUCUCCUCCCCUUCUUUCCGUAGGGCAAAGCCCGAUAGGUGCUGGUGGCGGCGGGGCCUCUUCUUCUCCUCGCACAAGACUCGGCAUGGGCCGACGACCUUGGGCUUUGGCAGCGCUGCUGUGCCUUGUCCCAUGCGUGAAGAGCUGAACUUGAUUGGGGUUUGACCUAUGGGACGGCGCCUCAUCCCAGAUCAGGUCGGGCGUGUGCUUGGUGCGGUUCCCAUCGGUCCAUGGCCUAAUCUAGAUCCAGGCGGCAUAGGCUGCGAGCGGCGAGGGAGUCUGCUAGGGUCCGACGAAGGAGUGGUGGCCGCGGCGUCUGAGCCAGACCUGGGAUCGAGCAAGCAUGUGGCCAGAGGCAGGUCGCGGUCGUGCAUAGCCUGGGUGCAUGCUAGGCAGGCCGGAUGGCGAGGCGUGUUGGGUGUGGGAAGUGUCCCCGGUGAGGCUGUGUUGGAUGAGGGGCGAGAUCCACAAGCAGCGCAACUCAUGGUGGAGGGUCCUCAAUGGCCUUUAGGAUGCUCGAGCGGCGUCUUAUCGGGCGAGGCGCGUGGGCGGUGUGUGUCUGCGUCAUCUAGCAUCACGUGGAUGCCCCUCGGGGUGCGUGGAUUGGAGUCCCAUGACAACGAGGAAGUACGCUCCCGCGGUGUGUGAUGUGGAUCUGGUCUCCGACCGUCGGUGGUCUCCGCGAGCUGUGGUUGGCUGCGGCGGGUGUUGCUGCUUCCUCGCCGAUGGGUAGCUUCGAUGGUUGCCACAAUCCUAGAAUAUUUCUUGUAAAUGGUUGCACAUACGAUCAUGCAUAUCAUUAUGUUUAAUUUUCCAAAAGUUGAACUGAGGGAAGUGAAAGCCUCAAAACUUUAAAUAAAAGAGGGGCAAAGAACCCUCAAAUUGCUUUAUGUGAAUUAAAAAGGCUCUAAAAAUGUUUCUGAGAAUUUUGUCAAGAUAAAUAUUCGAACAAAAAUUUAGGAACAUUUCAAAGGAAUAUUUGGCCGUGGAAAUUAAAUCAAUAUCGUAUUUGAGUUUGAACUUUUAUUCAUAAUAUGUAUGGAAUAUACUUUCAAAUACCCUUGACCAUUUUAUGUGCAUUUGAAAUAAACAUUUGAGCCACAUAAAAAAUAUUCAGUUGGGUUUUGGCAUUGAUUUUGAAUUGUUUGGAAUUUAAACACUGGAAAAAUCAGCAUAUAAAAGGAAACAUAAGAAAAAUAAAUAAAUAGGUAGAAAACAUACCUAGGUUUACGUGGAAGAAGAGGUCCAACCCACCAGGGGCUGGAUCGUCUUCUUCCUCUACCACAAGGCACAGGAGAGGCCGAGCACGGCGCUGGCCGUGCGUAGCUAGGCACCAGCCUGCCUGACUUCAGAUGACAGUGCGGCGACGGGGAUAGCUUGUCCACUGCCGUCCCGAUCCUACUAACCCUCCAUUCCUCUCUCCAUCGCUUCUCUACCUCGCGUCCGAGUGCACCGCAGCAUGUCGCCGUGUACCACCACGUCCACUAGCUUCAUCGAGCCCCCCUGCCGUGUCCCCUAGCUCUGCCGACCUCCUCCUUGUCUCCAUGCCAAAGGAAUCGAGCUUGAGAGCCCUACAUCACAGCUGACGAGUUCGUCUUCCUCCUCGGAUAUAGGAGAUCGCCGACCUCGAUUUGCCUCGCCCCAAGUCUCCCCGACCUCGCCAGCAGCACUAGAAGCCUCGUUGUGAGCCACUGAACCUUCCCCCUUGCCUCCCCGUUGAUUGCAUCCUCUAGGGUGUAGAACCUCCACGACCGGAGUCCACCAUCCCUCGGGGUUGUCAUCGAUGUCACUCUAGUGACUUAUUGUCUACCCUACCGUGCGUGACAACCUCACACGCGAGCAUAGGUGUUAUAGGUGCAAAGAAACCGUCGAAGUAGCCACUCCAGAGAUGAAUCCGAUGUUAACCAAACUCCCGUCAUCGCUGCAAUACGCCCCUCCUCUAGGCAACGUCCCCAGUGGAUGCGGGCGAGUCCCAGCUCCACGCAAAGCCCCUCCACCAUUCAAUUGGUCAUCGGAGGGUGACUUCUGAGCACCUCCGCCACCUCGGACCACACCGACAUUGAGUCCCCAGAGGCCUUGACCCCGGUGACCAGAGGUUUGACCUGUGUGGGUCAGUGACACGUGGGGUCUGGCCCCUAGUUAAUUAAGUAGUUAGAUAGUAAUUUAGAUAAUUAGAUUAACUAACCUAAUGACCCACUGACUAGUGGUCCCACAACAUAUUAAUUAUUAGUUAGAUUACAUUUAAACAUCUUUAUUCCCCAAUCGACUAACUAAUGGGCUCCACCGGUCAGGUUUGACCUGGACCGGUCAAUUGAACUACUGACACAAGCAUGACCCCCUGAUGACGUAGUAAAUAUUUUCUAUUUUCAAAAGAAUUCAGGAAAUUUGAGAAAAUAAUUUGGACUUCAAAAAUUCAUAGAAAUUCAACCUAGCUAAGAUUGAAAUAAAUUACAUAUAAAAAAUUAUCAAAAAAAUCCAAGGAAUCUCUUUAUGGCAUUUUCAUGCAUGUUAGAACAACCUAUGCUCUGUGUUUACGGCAAUUCAAUUAAAUGCCAUUUAAAUAACUACAUAUGGAGUUUGAAAUUGAACCUUUCGUUCAAGCCAACUUCAUUUAAUGUUGUUGCUAGAUGCAUUAGCUCAAUCAACAUCACAUUGCAAUGUCAUGAUCAUGCAUCAUAGUGUUGCAUUUGCAUGAAGUAAAUGUUGUUCUUUUGCUGUUUGUUGGUGUUGUUCCCUCUCGGUAGACGUGGUUCCAAUGAUGAGAUCGGUGUCAAUGACAAAGACUCACUGUUAUCUUUAGAAGUGCUAGGCAAGCAACCCCCCUUGAGCAUUCUGAUACAAUCCCACACUCUCGCUCCUGCUCUGUUUUAAAUGCAUUAGGACAACAACGAUUCAACUGUUUCCUAUUCUGGGUAGUUGAACCCAUUCCUUUGCGUGACCUAUCCUUGUCACAGUAAAUAGUUGAAACCACUUAGCAUGAGCAGAAACUUCUUGAUCCUUGUUGUGCUUACUCAUCCAUGCUUGCUUACUGUGCCUACUAUGCUUAGAGUUGUGCCGGGUUUGAUCCAUCUAGGCGUUGAAUUGGAAUGAUCAUGUACUAAUGAUGAGAUAUAAUUGUCUUGACCCGUUUUGGUCAAGAUAGUGACGAGAGGCCAUGUUGGAGAACAUGGUAUAUUAUGUUAUGAUACGGGUCAUAGGAACUAGGUUUCGUGCUUAUCAGAGCCUACCUCGCUCUUACACGGACAUGUGCGGGUCAGGUGCUCGGGCAUGUGGCGCAUGGCGCGUGUGGCCCUUCGAGGCACAUGGCGUGGCACAUGUAGCGGACUAGACACAGAUACGUGUUCCACGAGGGAACAUUGUUGAUGGGACGGGGACGUGGUUCCUCUGAGUCAGGUGAAUGAAUCUGAUUUGGUAAAGGUAGCGAUGAGAUGCCAGGUAGGAGUACAUGGUGACUUGUCUCAUUGGGACCGCCCUUAAUAACUGAGUUUUGUGUAUGCUAUCCAAGACAAGAUACUACCAGACAUUGGCAUCCUUAAUUGACUCUCUCGGGUUAUUAAUCGCCUUGAUUUCUAUCGAGGAGUUGCAACAAGUUUCUAGUGUAUGUAGGAUGUGCUCGCGGUCGUGCAUAGCGCUGACCGGAGAGGUAGGCUAUGGGCCGGUAUAUGCACCAGUGGCCGGGUGUACCAAGAGUAGAACCACGCACUUAGGUGUGCUUGGGAACCUUGUACACAUCGUUUGGGGCCAUAAUGGAAACUUUGGCCAGACUUCCUUGUGGUUUCAAUCUCAAAUAGGCUAUAAACCUGGACUAGGGUCUUCCGUGGUUAACGGUCGUGGCCGACGCCCACGCCAGUGCUUUUGCUUGAAAGUUGCCGAGAUGCAUGACAUGUAAAUGGUGAAAAGUGGUGAGAGCGUCUGUGAAUAAGUAUACACCUACAAGGUGAAAUAAUCUAUUCGAAUAGCCACGUCCUUGGAUAUGGACUACUUGGAAACUUAUGUGGUACAUAGACAACUUGAAAUGGAUACUCUAAAAUGCGCAAGAUAAGUGUGAGUGCUAUGGAUGGCCUUCUUGUAGGGAGACAAGAGUGGAUCCAUAGUGGUGUAUUGAUUUGGUGAAUAUGUGGACUCGUGUGCACUAUCCCAAUUCAAACAAAAUACUCGUAGUCACAGUAUAGGUUAGCCAAGAGUCAAAGGUAGCUUGCUGCAAUUAAACUCCACAAGCCCUUCAUUGAUACUGAUGCAUAUGUAGAUAGUUCUGAUCUAAGCAAUGUUGAGUACGUCUGUACUCACGGUUUAUUAAUUCAUGUUUUUGGAGAGGAGACAUUAGCUUCACUAUUGGAUCUACGUUAUGUGAUCGAUGUUGACCAUAAUAGCUUGGGAAUCCCACACACAUGCCUGGCUCGUUUGGUAGGGUCAUUGUAGCUUUUUAGGCUCUUCCAGCCAGUUCUAGUAGAUGUCUAUACCCAGACAUGUUAUGCUUCUCCUAGAUGCAUGUAUGACUUGAGUGUUCGUUCAUGUGACCCCUGUUUCUAAUAUCACACUUUGUUGACUCUUAUGAGUCCUUACUAAAUGGUUGAGUCGUAGAGUUCUGUUGUGAUGCCAUGUUGUAUCUACACAUAUCGUGCAUAUUGUGUGUAUGUUUUGAAAUGCAUUGUAUGUGUGGGAUUCGACACCUAGUGGUAUGCAUUUAGUAGACUUCUUUACGGGGAAAUGCCUCUUUGUCCUUACAUAGAGCUUUGGUAGCUUGCUACUUCUCCGGACAUAUUGAUUGACCGCCAUGUAUCCUUCUUGGCUGUCUUGUCUACCCCUACAAGGAAAUGUCACACGAUGUAAUUGAGUCCUUGUAUCUUGCUACGACUCCUCUACACAUGCUGAUGGCCGACACCUGCAUUCUUGGGUUAUGUAUGCAUGUCCUUGUAUGGUUGUCUCACUUGGCUCUAUAACUAGUCAUUUCGAACCAGGUUCUUUGAUAUAUGGAUGCUAGCGACAUAAUCAUAUACGUGAGCCAAAAGGCGCAAACGGUCCGGCCAAGGUAAGCUGGCAGCCGUUGUGUACCGUGCGUGAGGCCACAAAGCUAUACGAUGUGUUAUAUGAUAGAUCUGUAUGGCUUAGGAUCUGGGUCCCGAUAGCAUUGGUAUCAGAGCAUGACUGCCUAUAGGAUUACCAAGCCAAACUGGUUGAUGUUGAGUAUAGAACUACUAUAGUUAUGUAAGGGAAUUGAUUGUGGAAGGGAACGUAAGACUCUUUUUACUCCUUUCCUCGUGUCAUUCUAAUUCUGAGUCACCCUCUUGCUUAUUCUAUGGGGGUUGAGAAUUAGGCUUCUCAGCUAUCUAUCAUGAUGACGAGUUACUAUGGUAGAGACCUAUAGGAAGUUUGUUGUCUUCUUGGAUUAAUGUCUUCGUAAAAAUUCCAUGGUUAUGUUGUUAGUUGUCUUGCUGGUUGCCUCAUAUUUGAUGCCCGUAAAACUAUUAUGUUGUUUGAGUUAUCCAUGGUUUCUAACUAAUCUGAUGCAAUUGCAAAUUCCUUGUCCCUGUUGUCGAUGUCUUUUGGGCCAGACAAAGGACACUAACUAUCAUUGUUGAGGUACUCUAUUACCUCGACGUAUUUGUUGUAGGUGUUAUGAAAUGAUGUUAUCUUAGGAAACCACCCAGUAGUCUAGUUCUGUUUUGUUUUUCCAGUGUGAUAAUUCUGGCCCUCAUUAUCGAAAGCAUCCCGUGAUGUUAUAUAAUAGUAAGUUUUCCAAAUCUGAGUUCUUUAAUCGAAGGAUCAUUCUGCUCACUCAUGUUGAUAGUGUUUUCUCAUUCCUUUAGGAUGGUUAGUAACCAUGUAAUAGCCUUCAAGAUCCAUGGUAUAUCAUUCUUCCAAUACCAUGGACUAUCCCCGGUAGGAGUUCUUCAGGAACUAUAGAUCACAAUAAGAGUGCUCUUGAUGAGCUACCCAUGCCAUAAUUGUGACUCUGCCGAUCCUUCCUUUCUGCAUGGGUUAUCUAGAAGAAUUAUGUUGAACUUGUUCGACAUGCUAAUCUUUGCAUCUACAACUCAGAAAAAUCAUGUGCUCUUGAGUGUCCCCUCUUUAGUUGUUUUCCGACCGUAGCUGUCAGUGGAUGGUUAAGAGUAGUGGUGCAUUCAUGUUCAUCUAUGCCUACUAUUCUUGUGGCCUUUCGACCAUUCUAUUUUAGAAUCACUAGGAGAAGCAAACUCUAGUGCCUCAUGCAUUUCAAGGAUUUGGUCAAAGCAGUUGUAUUCCGCACAUCAAAAUGCCAAUCCAGCUAUUGUUUUGUUCUACCUUGGAGUAUUACCCUCUUAUGUUAAGAAUGUUGUGAGAAUUGCACCAUCUCUUAUGAACUCUUUAUGUAGUGAUACUUCUCGCCAUUAUUAUUCAUUUCUCGGUCUCUAUAUUGGUUGUAACUGGAAUAUCGAUGAGUGAACCAUGAUGUGUGAAAUCAAUACUCCUAGCAACCGAGUUGCUUUGUAGUUAAUGGACAAUAAAUUCAUUCUUAGCUUGUUGGUUGUUGAAUCAUCAUUCGAAUUUUGAUCGUGCUACCUAGUCCAUCUUUCCUUCUGCACUUCUUGAUCAAUGAGUUAGGAUUGUGUCAAACCCUCACUCUUUGAUAACAUCGUCUUGCCUUGAAAAGAAAGAUUGUUCUUGAGUUCAUUAACAUAACGGUGGUUCGUAAUUUUCUGAAUAUCUUCUCGAAAGUAUUACUGGGUUGUUCCCUGACCGUUAUGUUGAGCUCAUGAUCAAGUUGGUUUUCUUAUAAACCACCCUUUUCCUAAGAAUCUGUGUUGGAUACCUCUGAGCUAGUUGGUUAAGCAAAAUAACAACUUGGAGAGUUGGAAGAUAAAAGCUUUGCAUGAUUAGGUGAUUCCAAAGGGAUAUGUUUGUUUGUGUGUGUGUGUGUGAGAAAGAGAGAGAGUUGAAUAAAGAUGAUAUUCUCAUCGGUUGAUCCAUGUGAUCAAAUGUUGCAUAUGUUAUCUUGUCCAAUUUUUAAUUUGAGUAUGGGCUAUCGUAAAAUCAAACCCAGAACCAAAGAUUUUCGUAAUGGUGUCUUACUCGUGGAUUUCCUUUGUCACACCCUGUUUUCACUACCACUUUCACUAUAAUGCAAACAUCUGAGCUUGUUAAAACUUUUUCAAAACUAAUGAUGUGAGUGCCAUGAUUUUCAUUGUAUGCUUGUGUGUUGAUGAUGUGGUGAUAAAAACCCCAUUUGACAAUGUUGAAUUAUUUCCAAAAACCUUUACUUGUUUCUGAUCAAUGUAAAACCUUACUUUGAGUUGCACUACAUGCCCUUGACGGCAAGGAGUGUUCCUACCCAAAGUUGGUGAUCUGAUUUUAAAUAUAUUUCAGUCCUCCAAAACCACAAAAUAAUUAUUUUGUGAAUUAUUUUCCUAAUUUAAUUGCAUGUCCAUUUUUGAGGCCAGAAAUGGUAUUCCUACAUGGAAAAAUACUUUUCUGCCUAAGAAAAAUCUGAUUAAAUUUGGAGAUGAUCAGAAGCACAUAUAUUUUCCAUACAUAAGAUUUUAAACCCGUAUUUAUAUUAUAAUUAUUUGAGUAAAACCUUCAGAACCAUUUGUGUCUGUUUUGACCUUUUGAAUUAUUUCCAAAGGAAAUAUUCUCAAUAAAAUCCUCGAAAAUUCCAAUGCUAUCCCUAAGCCAUAUUUGGUGUCCACCUAAAGUUUCACUUUGAUGCAUGGUGAUUAAGGACCCCAAAUAAAUGUAAAACCCCUUCUGUCCAGAUUGAAGUUAGAGUAACUCUACAUAGCAAAGUUUGUCCAAUGAUAAUGAAACUUUGCAGGAGUGCCUAAUACCUCAAAUGAGGGUUCCACACCAAAAAUGGGAUUUGUGGGACUUAGUUUGCCCACACUCUAUUCGGAAGGGACAGAUCUGGUCAAAUGGUGGUGUUUUCAAGUUUACAAAGCUAAACACGUCCAAUGGAGCUCAAACUUGGUGAAACCCCAUGUUUUAGCACCAAACCCAAAUAUGUUAAGUUGCAGCACCAGUGGUGGGGUGCAACCCACUCAAACCACCGUCGAGCACCUUCUGACAGAUGGGUAAAAGCCCUCUUAACCACAGCUAAACCCAACCCCUUUGCUCCAAACUCUCAGAUUAGGUGGCUAGUAUCAAUGCCCAGCCCCAGUCAAUUGGGCCCUCUCUGGUUCAAAGUAGAAAUGCCAAAAUCCCAAUCUAAGCUUUAGCUCAAAGCUGACAGCACCUGUUUCUCUUGUCUCCCUUGACCAGUCGAAGCUCCCACGGGACUUCAACAGCUAGCCUCACCCCCAGCUAGUGCCAGGACAUGAUAGAGACGUCCAAAGCACCUGAGAGCGCACCAGCAUGCCAUGGCAUGCCAAAACUGCGCUUUGGGCGCAUCACAGGAAGCCACCAAGGUGGGGGCGACACCCUUGGCCAGUUCCAGCCUCCCCCGAGGUGUCCAACCUCUUCCCCGACAAUCCCUCUGCAUCGAGCGACCAUCAGGGCCCCUCCGCUCCUGUGCUAGAGCUCGUGUAAUGCGUGCCCGCGCGCACCAGUAUCGACCGAAGUUGCGCGGCCACUGACGCUCGAAUCCUCUCUCUCUCUCGCUCUGUUGCAGAUGCUUCUGGCAGUCCAAAACUACGUCCUGGGAUUGUGGUUUCGACCCCAGCUCCUCUCUGCAUCCCCAUGCGUGCCACGGUGAGUCACCGGCGCUCCCGAAUCGGCUCAAAGUCGCAUGCCUAUUUAUAGCCCUCCCCCUCGCUCGAGCACCCUCAGACAGCUUCGCCACGACUACUAGCACCUCCAUAGCCACCCCAGCAAGCCAGCAGAGCCCCGGUGCUAGAGAUCGACCGAGGCACCUCCGCCUCGGAGCUCCGAUCGAUCUCCAGCUACAUGACGACUCCUGCAUUCCUCGACCUCAGGAAGCUUUCCCCCAACUUUCCCAAGCAUUUCCGUGCCCCUAGCUACCCCGUGGACCACCUCCCGAAAAUCCUCCGCCGUGGCCUCCUCGUCGUCGGCGAACCCGUGCCUCUCUGUCGUUGUUCCGACCACCAGCAGGUAGGCGGCGAUGAGCCAAACCCAUUUCUGUCCUCGUUGGAGCUUGAGAACGUCGGCAGCCUCGCCGUCGAGCUCCUCCUCCUCUCUAGGGAGAGGUAGGAGUCGACCCCGACAAGUGUGCCCCACCUAUUGGUGGCCCAGCUCCCUCUCCCUCGCCGCCCACAGCUGCAAACUCCAGGGCCCCGCACGUCAGGUUCAAACCUAACGGCGUGCGCGCGUGGGCAGGCUGUUGGCUGGCCUUUGGGCUGGCCCAGUUCCAAGCCUAGCCAAGCCAGGAACUGCUGCCCAUUUUCUUUUGUUUUAAAAUGUUUUUUCAAAGAUUUUUAUAAAAUAUUUAACAAGUGUAAAAAUAUAAAUUUUCCACUAAUAUUCUCCUAAAAAUAUGUAGUAUUUAAUAAGACCAUUGGUUGAAUUUUGCAGCAACUAUUCUGUUUUACAAUAAUAAAAAUGAUUAAAUUGGAAUAGUUUUGCUUCUGUUUAGUUGAUUUUAAAAAUGUUCCUUCAUUGGGAACAGAGGCAAAUAUUUUUCAAAAUAAAAACUUAUAUUUAUCAGUAAUAAAGAACAUUUUUGAAAUAACUUUGUGAUCUGUUUUUGAGUGAUCUAUUUCUUAUUUAUUCUUUUGACGAUGAUAGAAAAUCCGUGUGACGAGGGAAUCGGAGCGGAAGACCUCGAAGACCCUUGAUACCAAGCUGACCAAGGCAAGCAGCCCUUUGACCAUGACUGAGCAUAUGUUAUAUUGCAUGCUAGUGUAGCAAAUAUUUCUGUUGCAUAUGAUUAUAAGUGCCGGUAAAUCAUUGAUGUGAUGUUACCGAUGGCUCCUCCGGAGCACAUGCAUAGAGCUUGGUCCUACCAACUAUGAGGGUCAUUCUAGUAUCAUGUUGACAAUAAAGCUAGAGUAACAGUAGCAUGAGCAUGUUGUUGAUAUAAAUCAAAGAUUUAUGAAAAAACCCGUCGGGUGCCAGUAAUGCCCGAGGGUGAUGAUGAGUUAGGUGGCCAAUUUUGGUGAAGUGGUGCACCGGGUAUUUGUGUGAGUAUGGUUUCAGAAAUGGGAUUAGAUUUAUGAGGUGUCGACCGUCCCAACCUUACAUGUACGACCACGUUACCCCUCAUGGGACGGGGCUGUUUUGAUUACUCUAGUCGGUGCUAGCAAAGAGCUUCUACUUCUUUAGCUUGCGUUGGUUUUUCCCUUGAAGAGGAAAGGGUGAUGCAGCAAAGUAGAGAUAAGUAUUUCCCUCAGUUUGAUAACCAAGGUAUCAAUCCAGUAGGAGUAACAAGAUGAUGCACCAAUGAACCUGCGCAAAAACAAACAAACUUGCACCCAACGCGAUAAAGGGGUUGUCAAUCCCUUCACGAUUACUUGCAAGGUGAGAUCUGAUAGUGAUGAAAGGUAAAUAAGUAAAAGUGCAGCAAGGUAUUUUUGGUAUUUUUGUAUUAGGUCUGAAUAUAUAAUGUGUAAAAUAGACCCGGGGGCCAUUGUGUUCACUAGAGGCUUCUCUCAUGAUAGCAACGAAUUACUGUCGAGCAAUUGAUAGAAUCACGCAAAGUCAUGACGAUAUCUAAGGCAAUGAUCAUACAUAUAGGCAUCACGUCCGAUCUUAGUAUACCGACACUUUCUGCAUCUACUACUAUUACUGCACACAUUGACCGCUAUCCAGCAUGCAUCUAGUGUAUUAAGUUCAUAACAAACAGAGUAACGCCUUAAGCAAGAUGACAUGAUGUAGAGGGAUAAAUUCAUGCAAUAUGAUAUAAACCCCAUCUUUUUACCCGUGAUGGCAACAACACGAUGCAUGCCUUGCUACCCCUUCUGUCACUAGGUGAGGACACCGCAUGGUAUGAACCCAAAUCCAAGCACUUCUCCCAUAGCAAGAAUUAUAGAUCAAGUUGGCCAAACAAAACCCAUAACUCGAAUAGAAUUACAAGGAUAAGAAAUCAUGCAUAUAAGAAAUCAUAGGAGACUCAAAUAAUAUUCAUAGAUAAUCUGAUCAUAAAGCCACAAUUCAUCGGAUCUCGACAAACACACCGCAAAAUAAAGUUACAUCGUAUAGAUCUCCAUGAAGAUCAUGGAGAACUUUGUAUUGAAGAUCCAAGAGAGAGAAUAAGCCAUCUAGCUACUAGCUAUGGACCCAAAGGUUUGUGGUCAACUACUCACGCAUCAUCGGAGAGGCAAUAGUGUUGAUAAAGAAGCCCUCCGUGUUCGAAUCCCCCUCCGGCAGGGCAACAGAACGGUCCCCAGAUGGGAUCUCGCGAAUACAGAAGCUUGCGGCGGCGAAAAAGUAUUUCCGUGGCUCUCUCUAAAGGUUUCAGGAUUUUUGGGAAUUUAUAGGCGAAAGAGGUAGGGCAAAGGUGGGAAGGGGGCUCACGAGCCUGCUAGGCGCGCCCCCUAGGGCGCGCCUAGGGGGCUCGUGACCUCCCACGAGACCUCUUGCCUUGGUUCUCAAGUCUUCUAGGUAUCUUCUGUUAUGGAAAAAAAUCAUCCCACAGGUUUUAUUCCGUUUGGACUCCGUUUAAUAUUCUUUUCUAAAAAAGGUCAAAAACACGGAAAAAACAGAAGCUGGCACUAGGCACUAAGUUAAUAGGUUAGUCCCAAAAAUGAUAAAAAAAAUUGCAUAUAAAUGCAUAUAAGACAUCCCAAGUUGAUAAUAUAAUAGCAUGGAACAAUAAAAAAUUAUAGAUACGUUGGAGACGUAUCAAGAAUCCCCAAGCUUAACUCCUGCUCAUCCUCGAGUAGGGAAGUGAUAAAGACCGAAUUUUUGAUGUGGAAUGCUACCUAACAUUUUUGUUCUUUGUAACUUCAUUCUUGUGGCAUGAAUGUUCAGAUCCGUAAUAUUCAAAACAAUUGUUUAAUAUUGACAUGAAAACAGUAAUACUUCAAGCAUACUAGCAAAGCAAUCAUGAACCUUUGAAAUAACAAUGCCAAAGAAAGUUAUCCCUACAAAAUCAUAUAGUCUGGCUAUUCUCCAUCAUACCCACACAACGAAUUUAAAUCAUGGACAACCCCGGUAUUGGCCAAGUAAUUGUUUUCGCACUCUUACUUUCUCAAACUUUUUUCAACUCUCACGCAAUAAAUGAGCGUGAGCCAUGGAUAUAGCACUAUAGGUAGAAUAGAGUGUGGUGGAGGUUGUGAGGAAAAAAAGGAGGAGAUAGUCACAUCGACUCGGCAUAUCAGUGGGCUAUGGAGAUACCCAUCAUUAGAUAUCAAUGUGAAUGAGUAGGGAUUGCCAUGUAACGGAUGCACUAGAGCUAUAAGUGUAUGAAAGCUUAAAAAGAAAACUAGUGGGCGUGCACCCAACUUGCUUGCUCACGAAGACCUAGGGCAAUUUUGAGGAAGCCCAUCAUUGGAAUAUACAAGCCAAGUUAUAUAAUGAAAAUUCCCACUAUUAUAUGAAAGUGACAAAAUAAGAGACUCUCUAUCAUGAAGAACAUGGUGCUAUUUUGAAGCACAAGUGUGGAAAAAGAUAGUAGCAUUGUCCCUUCUCUCUUUUUCUCUCAUCAUUUAUUGUUUGGGCUCUUUGGCCUAUUUUUUCAUCUAAAUUUUUUUGGUGGGCAUAUUUGGUCUCUAAUUUUUUAUUUAUUCACAUGGGACAAUGCUCUAAUAAUGACGAUCAUCACACUUUUAUUUACUUACAACUCGAUACUUAGAACAAUAAUGACUCUAUAUGAAAUGCCUUCGGCAGUGUACCGGGAUGUGCAACGAUCUAGCUUAGCGUAUGACAUUGAAACAUCUAGCUAGCUACCUUACGAUCAUGCAAUGGCAAAAUGAAAAUGACGGCACAUGUCAUGAGACGAAACGGUGGAAGUUGCAUCGCAAUAUAUCUCAGAAUGGCCAUGAAAAUGCCACAAUAGGUAGGUAUGGUGGGUGUUUUGAGGAAGGUAUAUGGUGGGUUUGUGCACCGACGAAAGUUGUGCGACACUAGAGAGGCUAGCAAUGGUGGAUGGUGAGAGUGCAUCUAUACCAUGGACUCACAUUAGUCAUGAAGAACUCAUAUACGUAUUGCAAAAGUUUUAUUAGUAAUCGAAAGAAAGUGCUAAACGCAUACUCCUAGGGGAAGGGUUGGUAGGUGUUAACCAACGCACGAUCCCGACCGCCACACAAAGGAUGACAAUCAAUAAAUCAAUUAUGCUCCGACUUCCUAACAUAGCGGUUCACCAUACGUGCAUGCUUCGGGAAUCACUAACCUCAACACAAGUAUUUCGAGAUUCACAAAACACUACAUAUAUGACUCUAAUAUUACUGUAUCCAUAUCUAAAAACUAAUUGUGAGGAAUCAAACUUCUCUUACUAAUCAAUGCACUUGAAUAUGAAAGUUUUUAUUAUAUCCUCUUUGGACGCCUAUCAUAUUUAGGACUAAUUUCAUAACACACGCCAAUUACCAAGUUACUUUGAGAGAGCACUCUCAAAAUGAUAUAAGUGAAGAUCAAGAGUUUUAAUAACAAAUUCACGAUGAGUGCAUGUCCCUCUCAAAAAGGUGUGCAGCAAGGAUGAUUGUGACAAAACAAAAAAGCAAAACUCCUAUGAUACAAGACGCUCCAAGCAAAAACACAUAACAUGUGGUGAAUAAAAAUAUAGCUCCAAGUAACGUUACCGAUGGAUUGAAGACGAAAGAGGGGAUGCCUUCCCGGGGCAUCCCCAAGCUUAGGGUUUUUGGUGCCCCUGAAUUUGGCUUGGGAUGACUUGAGCAUCCCCAAGCUUAGGCUCUUUCCACUCUUUAUUUCAUUGUCCAUAAGAACAUAACCCAAAACAUGAAAACUUCACAACACAAAACUUUUUAGGUACUGUAGUAAACUUAAUUUCCAUUUAGCAUAAGAAAACAAACCACCAACUUUUUAGGUAUUGUAGUAAACUUAAUUUCCAUUUAAAUUGAUGUUAUAUUACUGUAUUCUCACUUUUCCAUGGCUCCUACCCCCCGAUACUAACCAUAGUUUCAUCAAAAUAAUUAAUCAACACAAAAAAACAGAAUCUAUCAAAAACAGAACAGUCUGUGGCAAUCUGUAUAUUUGGUAUACCUCUGCUAUCCCCAAAAUUCUGAAAAAUUAUGACAAUUAGGGAAAUUUGCAUAUCAAUCAGAACCAAAAAUAAUCAACUCAAAAUCUCUUUCUGGAUAGGAAUUAUAAAUAAUUUCGUGAGCAGAAAGUUUCUGUCUUUUUUAGCAUGAUUAAACAACUAUCACCAAAACUAAUCAUAAAGGUUCUACUUGGCACAAACACUAAUUAAAACAUAAAACACACAAUCAUAAUAUAAUCAUGAUGGUGUGGACUCAACAAAACAGAACGUGAAAAGAAAAAAUAAAUUUAUUCAUUGGGUUGCCUCCCAACAAGCGCUAUCGUUUAACGCCCUUAGCUAGGCAUAAGGCAAUAGAAUCAAGUAUCGUCAUCUUUAGUGCUCAAACCAUAAGUAGGUCUCAUAAUGUAUUCAUAAGACAAACUUAUUUUAUUUCUAGGUAAGUGUUCCAUGCCCUUCUUUAAUGUAAAUUGAAAUUUAAUAUUCCCUUCCUUCAUAUCAAUAACAGCACCAAUAGUCCUAAGAAAAGGUCUACUAAGAAUAAUGGGACAUGUCGGAUUGCAAUCGAUAUCAAGCACAAUGAAAUCUACGGGCACAUAGUUCAUAUUUGCAAUAAUAAGAACAUCAUUGAUCCUUCCCAUAGGUUUCUUAAUAGUAGAAUCCGCAAUAUGCAAAUUAAGAGAGCACUUAUCAAUCUCAUUGAAACUUAGAACAUCACAUAAAGAUUUUGGAAUUGUGGAAACACUAGCACCCAAAUCACAUAAAGCAUAUCAUUCAUAAUUUUUAAUCUUGAUUAGUAUAGUAAAUUCCCACUCGUCAUGAAUUUUUCUAGGAAUAUAUAUUUCCAACUCAAGUUUCUCAUCAAGAGACUUCAUCAUAGCAUCAACGAUAUGAUUGGUAAAAGCCUUAUUCUGGCUAUAAGCACGUGGAGAGUUUAGCAUGGAUUGCAUCAAGGUAAUACAUUCAAUCAAAGAGCAACUAUCAUAAUUAAAUUCCUUGAAAUCCAAAGUACUAAUUUCAUCACUAUUCAAAGUUUUGAUAUCCUCUACUCCACUUAUAGUAUUUUUAGCAUCAAGAUAAAUAGACUCUGAAUCAUUGGGGCAUUUCUGAACCAAAGUGGAUUCACAUCUAGCCCCAUCAUAAUUAGGAUUGACAUUAGAAAACAAGGAUUCAAUUGGAGUCACACCAAACACUUUAAGAUCUUCGUGAUUCUCAUCACGAGAACACGCCCUUUUAAGCCAUUCAUGUCUAGCACAAAUUUGGGCGAUUCUUUCUUUACUCUCAUUCAUAGGAAUCAUUUCAAAGUUUCAUCCAUAUUAAUCUUGGGACGAACACAUCUCGAUUUCAAAGCUUCAAUAUCAAGAGACAUUCUAUCAACAGUCCUAGCCAAGUCAUCAAUUUUCAGCAGUUUUUCUUCUAUGGAAGCAUUGAAAAUGUUUUGCGAAGUAAUAAACUCUUUAAUAUUACUCUCAAGAUCAGAGGGUAUUUUAUUAUAAUUUCCAUGAGCGUUGUUGUAGGAAUUGCCAAAAUUAUUAGAGGGAUUACUAGGAAAAGGCCUAGGAUUAAAGUUACCUCUAUAAGCAUUGUUGUUGCCAAAAUUAUUCCUACCAAGAAAAUUAACAUCCAAAUUUUCAUUGCAAUUCUCAAUCAAGGAAGAUAAAGGCAUAUCAUUUGGAUCUAGACGAGCACUUUUACUAGCAAACAACUUCAUUAACUCAUCCAUCUUAGCACUGAAAGAGUUAAUUUCUUCUAUAGCAUGAACUUUUUUUACUAGUAGGUGACCUUUCAGUGUGCCAUUGAGAAUAAUUUGUCAUGAUAUUAUCUAGGAGUUUUGUGGCUUCUCCUAGUGUGAUUUCCAUAAAAGUUCCACCAGAGCCAGAUUCCAAGAUAUUUCUAGAAGCCAAAUUCAAACCAGCAUAGAAAAUUUGUAUAAUCAUCCAAAGACUCAGGCCAUGAGCUGGACAAUUUCUAAGCAUCAAUUUCAUUCUCUCCCAAGAUUGUGCAACAUGUUCAUGAUCUAGUUGCUUAAAAUUCAUGAUAUCUUUACGGAGAGAGAUAAUCUUAGCUGGUGGAAAAUACUUGGAAAUAAAGGCAUCUUUACACUUGUUCCAUGAAUCAACGCUAUUUUUGGGUAAAGAUGAAAACAAAGUUUUUGCUCGAUCUCGUAAUGAGAACGGAAAUAGCUUAAAUUUAAUCAUAUCAUUAUCCACAUAUUUCUUCUUUUGCAUAUCGCAUAACACAAUAAAGGUAUUGAGAUGGGAUGUGACAUCUUCACUAGGAAGGCCGUAAAAUUGCUCUUUCAUAACAAGAUUCAACAAGGCAGCAUUGAUUUCAUAUGAAUCCGCACUAGUGGCGGGAGCAAUUGAGUACUAAUAAAAUCAUUGUUAUUAGUAUUGGAGAAGUCACAUGAUUUAGUGUUUUCAUGCAUGGUGACUUAGCAAGCACACAAGCACACAAGCAAACAGAAAGCAAGUGAAAGAAAAGGGCGAAAGAAAAAGGCAAAUAUUUUUGUAAAUUUUGUUUUUUAGAAGUGGGGGAGAGGAAAAUGAGAGGCAAAUGGCAAAUAAUGUAAAUGCAAGAGAUGAGUUUGCAAUAGUUACUUGGUAGAUAUGCUUCACUUGAAUACUCCCCGGCAACGGCGCCAGAAAUUCUUCUUGCUACUUCUUUAGCUUGCGUUGUAUUUUCCUCAGUUUGAGAACCAAGGUAUCAAUCCAGUAGGAGUACCAAGAUGAGGCACCAAUGAACCUUCUCAAAAACAUACAAACUUGCAACCAACGCGAUAAAGGGGUUGUCAAUCCCUUCACGAUUACACUACUGAAGUUCAGAAAUUUGUCGUCUGCCAUGGCAGACGACAAAGGGGGGGAACCACGGAUGGCAAAGGCUUUGCCGUCGGUAAGCAGACGGCAAAGUAGACGGCAACAAAAAUCCGGUGAAGAAGUUCUUUGUCGUCUGCUUUUUUAAAGCGGAUGGCAAAGAAUCUUUGCCAUGAGGGGGCAGACGGCAAAUUAAAUGGGACGGCAGAUACACCAACGGUCCCGUUAAGUGUUAAUGGCACGCCUCCUGUCUUUGCCUUCUGCCAUCCCCCCUUUGCCAUGAGGGGGCAGAUGGCAAAGGGGGGAACCAAGCCCCUCUCUCUCCCCUCUUUGACGUCUGCCAUCCCCCCUUUGCCAUGAGGGGGCAGACGGCAAAGGGGGGAACCAAGCCCCUCUCUCUCCCCACUUUGUGGUCUUCCAUCCCCCUUUGCCAUGAGGGGGCAGACGGCAAAGGGUGGAACCAAGCCCCUCUCUCUCCUCUCUUUGCCAUCUACCAUCCCCCCUUCGCCAUGAGGGGGCAGAUGGCAAAGUGGGGAACCAACCCCUUUUUAUUUUAUUUCUUAAUAUAUCCAGCAUUUUUCACAAUAAUCAGGAUAUAUAUAUAUAUAUAUUUGACAUAAAUAAAUUUGUGUCCAUACUCAUAACCAUCUUAAAAUAACUUUAAUCCAUAGUACAUACAUAUUAUGCAAGUUCCAUCCGUACCAAACCAUAUAUUACACUCAUUCAUACAAAGUUUCAUAUAUAUCCAUAUACUACAAUAGUUUCAAUACAACCUUCCGUGAAGCCAUGGUACAAGAAAUCAUCUUCAAGCAUUCCAUCAAUAUAAUCCAAGCUUCCCGUGAAGUGAAUGUAAUCUGCAAAAAGACAAAUAAGAAAGUUAGAAGAAUAAUACUAGAUGAAGAAGUAUAUAGGUUAUUUCGGAGAGAACUAAGCUAAGUCGGAAGAAGAAGAACAACAACAUAUGAUGUUUAUGAGGUAAUCAACAACAACAACAAUAACAACAAAAAUGUGAAUAUGAAAGAGGAGAAUAAAGAGAAGGAGGAGGAGACGAAGAAGAAGAAAUCAAGAAGAAGGAGAAGAAUAAGGAUAAGGAGGAGGAGGAGGAGAAGGAGGAGAAGAAGGAGAAGGUCUAUCCUCCUUCUCCUUCUUCUCCUCCUCCUCUUCUCCUCCUUCUUCUCCUCCUCCUCUUCUCCUUAUCAUCUUCUUCUCUUCUUCUUCUUCUUCUUCUUCUUCCUUAUUUUCAUUUUUCCUAUUUCUUCUCCUCUUCUCCUCUUCUUGGAGCUAAAUUAUCUAAUUUUGUCCUUUUGGAGCUAAAUGGGCUAAUUAUGUCAUUUUAGAGGAAAACAAUCGAAGUAUAAAGUAUUCAUGAGCUAACCAAGGUUCUUAUGCCAUUUUGAUCUUAUUAUGUCAUUUUGGAGCUAAAUGGGCUAAUUAUGUGAUUGUUGGGGAAAAUAAGGUAAGGAUAAUAUGAAAGAGGAGAAGAAAGAGGAGGAUGAGGAGAAGAAUAAGAAAUCAACAAGAAGGAGAAUAGGAAGGAGAAGGAGGAGGAGGAGAAGGAGGAGAAGAAGGAGAAGGUCUUCUCCUUCUCCUUCUUCUCCUCCUCCUUCUCCUCCUCCUCCUUCUCCUUCUCUUCUUCUUCUUCUUCUUCCUUCUUUUCAUUUUUCCGAUUUCUUCUCCUCUUCUCCUCUUCUUGGAGGUAAAUUAUCUAAUUAUGUCUUUUUGUAGCUAAAUUGGAUAAUUAUGUCAUUUUUGAGCUAAAUGGGCUAAUUAUGUGAUUGUUGGAGAAAAUAAGGUAAGGAGAAUAUGAAAGAGGAGGACAAAGAGGAGGAGGAGAAGAAAAAGAAAUCAAGAAGGAGAAGAAGAAGGAGAAGGAGGAGGAGAAGGAGGAGAAGGAGAAGGAGAUGGAAAAGGUCUUCUCCUCCUUCUCCUUCUUCUCCUCGGCUCCUCCUCCUUCUCCUNNNNNNNNNNNNNNNNNNNNNNNNNNNNNNNNNNNNNNNNNNNNNNNNNNNNNNNNNNNNNNNNNNNNNNNNNNNNNNNNNNNNNNNNNNNNNNNNNNNNNNNNNNNNNNNNNNNNNNNNNNNNNNNNNNNNNNNNNNNNNNNNNNNNNNNNNNNNNNNNNNNNNNNNNNNNNNNNNNNNNNNNNNNNNNNNNNNNNNNNNNNNNNNNNNNNNNNNNNNNUCCUAUUCUUGGAGCUAAAUUUUCUAAUUAUGUCUUUUUGGAGGUAAAUGGGCUAAUUAUGUCAUUUUGUAGCUAAAUGGGCUAAUUAUGUCAUUCUUGGGGAAAAUAAAUUAAGGUGAAUAUGAAAGAGGAGAAUAAAUAGGAGGAGGAGAAGAAUAAUAAGAAAUGAAGAAGAAGGAGAAGAAAAAGGAGAAGGUGGAGGAGGAGGAGGAGGAGAAGGAGAAGAAGAUGGAAAAGGUCUUCUCCUCCUUGUCCUUCUUCUCCUACUCCUCUCCUCCUCCUUCUCCUCCUCCUCCUUCUCCUNNNNNNNNNNNNNNNNNNNNNNNNNNNNNNNNNNNNNNNNNNNNNNNNNNNNNNNNNNNNNNNNNNNNNNNNNNNNNNNNNNNNNNNNNNNNNNNNNNNNNNNNNNNNNNNNNNNNNNNNNNNNNNNNNNNNNNNNNNNNNNNNNNNNNNNNNNNNNNNNNNNNNNNNNNNNNNNNNNNNNNNNNNNNNNNNNNNNNNNNNNNNNNNNNCUUCUCCUAUUCUUGGAUCUAAAUUUUGUAAUUAUGUCUUUUUGGAGUUAAAUGGGGUAAUUAUGUCAUUUUGGAGCUAAAUGGGAAAAUUAUGUCAUUGUUGGGGAAAAUAAGGUAAGGAGAAUAUGAAAGAGGAGAAUAAAGAGGGGGAGAAGAAGAAGAAUAAGAAAUCAAGAAGAAGGAGAAGAAGAAGGAGAAGGAGAAGGAGGAGAAGAAGGAAAAUGUCUUAUCCUCCUUCUCCUUCUUGUCCUCCUCCUCUCCUCCUCCUUCACCUCCUCCUCGUCCUUCUCCUUCUCUUCUUCUUCUCUUCAUCAUCUUCUUCUUCUUGCUUCUUUUCAUUUUUCCUAUUUAUUCUCCUCUUCUCCUAUUCUUGGAGCUAAAUUUUCUAAUUAUGUCUUUUUGAGGCUAAUUGGGCUAAUUAUGUCAUUUUGGAGAUAAAUGGGGGUAAUUAUGUCAUUGUUGGGGAAAAUAAGGUAAGGAGAAUAUGAAAGAGGAGAAUAAAGAGGAUGAUGAGAAGAAGAAGAAGAAAUCAAGAAGAAGGAGAAGAAGAAGGAGAAGGAGUAGAAGGAGGAGAAGAAGGAAAAGGUCUUCUCCUCCUUCUCCUUCUCCUCCUCCUCUCCUCCUCCUCCUUCUCCUUCUCUCCUUCUUCUCUUCUUCUUCUUCUUCCUUCUUUUCAUUUUUCCUAUUUCUUCUCCUCUUAUCCUAUUCUUGGAGCUAAAUUUUCUAAUUAUGUCUUUUUGGAGCUAAAUGGGGUAAUUAUGUCAUUUUGGAGUUAAAUUAGCUAAGUAUAUAAUAUUCAUGAGCUAACCAAGGUUCUUAUGCCAUUUUGAGCUUAUUAUUUCAUUUUUUAGCUAAAUUGGUCAUUUUAAUGAGCUAACCAAGGUUCUUAUGAUGUUUUCACCUAACUAAGCUAAUUAUGUCAUUUUGUAGGAUAAUUAGCCAAUUUAGUCUUUCUUGGAUGACUCUAAGAUUUGUAGAAGAAGAGAAAGAGAAGAAGCAAGAAGAGAAGAAGAAGUAAAAGAAGAAGGAGUAGUAGGAGGAGGAGGAGGAGAAGGAGAAGGAAGAGGAGAAGAAGAAGAAAAGAAGAAGGAGAAGGAGAAGGACGAAGAAGGACGAAGAAGAAGGAGAAGGAGGAGCUCCUUCUCCUUCUUCUCCUCCUUCUCCUCCUUCUUAUCCUUCUUCGUAUCCUCUUCUUCUUCUCUUCUUCUUCUUCUUCUUCCUUCCUUUUAUUUUCCUCUUUCUUCUCCUCUUGUCCCCUUCUUUGGGCUAAAUUAGCUAAGAAUGCCUUUUUGGAGCUAAUUAUGUCAUUUCGAGGAUAAUUAUCUAAGUAUAUGUCAUGUUUUAUUAAAUAAACCAUUUUGGAGCUAACUAAGCUAAUUAUGUCAUUUAGGUGGAAGCCUAGCUAACUAUAGGUCAUUUCGGAGCUAACUCGGGUAAAAUGUGUCAUUCAUGAGCAAACUAUGCUUAUUAAGCCAUUUAGGAUUUAGCUAAGCUAAUUAAAGGCCAUUUAAUACCUAAGUUAGGGGAAUAGGUCAUCUUCGAGCUACCUAAGCCUUAUUAUGUCAUUUAGGAGAGAACUUAGCUAACUAUAGGUCAUUUUUUUAUUAAAUAGGUCAUUUUGGAACUAACUAAGCUAAUUAUGUCAUGUAGGUGGAAGCCUAGCUAACUAUAGGUUGUUUCGGAGCUCAUUUGGGUUAAAUAUGUCAUUUUGGAGCUAACUAUGCUUAUUAAGCCAUAUUGGAGCUAAAUUGGCUAAUUAUAUCAUUUAGGUGGAACCCAAGCUAAGUAUAUAAUAUUCACGAGCUAACCAAGGUUCUUAUGCCAUUUUGAGCUUAUUAUUUGAUUUUUAGCUAAAUUGGUCAUUUUAAUGAGCUAACCAAGGUUCUUAUGAUGUUUUCACCUAACUAAGCUAAUUAUGUCAUUUUGUAGGAUAAUUAGCCAAUUUAGUCUUUCUUGGAUGAGUCUAAGCUACGUCAAAGAAGAGAAAGAGAAGAAGCAAGAAGAGAAGAAAAAGUAAAAGAAUAAGGAGGAGGAGGAGGAGGAGAAGGAGAAGGAAGAGGAUAAGAAGAAGAAAAGAAGAAGGAGAACGAGAAGGAGGAAGGAGGAGGAAGAAGAAGGAGAAGGAGCUUCUUCUUCUCCUUCUCCUUCCUCUUAUCCUUCUUCUUCUCUUCUUCUUCUUCUUCCUUCCUUUGAUUUGUCCUCUUUCUUCUCGUCUUGUCCCCUUCUUCGGGUUAAUUAGAUAAGAAUGCCUUUUUGGAGCUAAUUAUGUCAUUUCGAGGAUAAUUAGCUAAGUAUAGGUCAUGUUUUAUUAAAUAGACCACUUUGGAGCUAACUAAGCUAAUUAUGUCAUUUAGGUGGAAGCCUAGCUAAUUUUUAUUAAAACACUAGAAAUAAGAUACCAUUAUCGUCAUCACGGCGGUGAAGCACAGUGGCUCUGGCUUGUUUCAACUCGAGAAGGCUGCCCUGGAGAAGACUCCACUGUAGAAGGGUCGUGCGAUGCGUUUCGGGAGAUAUUCUGCACCAAACAUCGUUUGCAAUGUGUCGUUAGCAUGAGGACACUCUUAAGAUCAUUGCACUAAAAUGAAACUCACCGUCCCCGCCAUGUUAAUGACUGGCAUCGGCGGAGGGACUUGGCCGGUCUUCUCGCACAUAGACUGUACAUUUGGUUUCGACAAGUCAAACUUUUUAUUUAUUAAUGAAACGGACAUUAAAAUGCAAGAUUUGAAAUAACAUGAAGAAGAAACUUACCACGAAGAGCUCGUAUAUGGCCCUGUUAGACGCAUCAUUCUGUGCCCUCUCCGCCUACACCAAUGCAGUCGUCCUCUCCUCCAGCUCCCUCAUCUCCUUAUCCUUCUCCGCCAUAGCCGCCUGAAUUGCCUCUCUCUCUUUCUGAAUAGGAGCCUGCAACACAACUCAUUGUUAGCAAAGUAAUCAUAUUGGUUCCAACGCACAACAUAAUGCGGAAAGAUAGUUGAGUCCAUUAAACUAACCUCGAUGGCGAGAUCGACUGGCCGUGGAUGAGGUGUUAUCUCCGGACAGGAGCUCGCUUGGCGUGCCUUUAUCUGCCGGAGAGUGCUAGGACAACGUAUAAGGCCGUCUCCAAUGGUGAUCAAGCCAUGGGGCCUCCCGUUGCCAUCUAUCAUCACCAGCUCUGGAUCAAUAGGCCCCUUGCUCGGGUUAAAGUCCUCCCCUUUCCUCGCCUUCCCGUGAUCUCUGUACUUCACGAGCUUGUGGUGGAAUGAGAUGUUGGUGAAGUUUUCUGGAUGCUCGAGGUCAGACUCAGAGAAUGCCUUAACCUUCUUGUACGAGGCAGUAUGGGCCAUCGCAUACAGGUCGUACAUCUGUGGCACCUCCGUCUUAUUCUGACGCGCCUAAAAGAGAGAGAGAGGAAAAUUGUAUUAGUAAAGGGCUCAAGAUAGCAUUAAGAAUGAAUUGCAUGAGGCAUGAAGCAAACCACAUACCCAGUUCUCGCCAAAUUGGAUUAAGUUGACGCUCCCUUGAUGGUGUGGCACACCAACCAUUUUGCCACGCCUCUCCUUGGCGUUGUUGUGGCUGGCCUCCCACGUUUUGGAGCACCACUGAUCCACCAAGGCCUCCCAACAAUCCAUCUUAUCCACACACCAUCUCGGGGGCACCUAAGUUCAUAAAGAGAAAUUUGAGCGCGUAAGAACAAAAUCAAGGAAACUAACUACAAAGCCUUAAUAAUAUGUAAUUACCUUCAUGUAAUGCUCCUUCUCCAUCUUAGAAUCACGACACUUCGCCUUGUCCUUCCUAAUAUGCUGCGUGGCAUAGUAAUCUCGAACAACCUGCACCCGAGCCUUGUGCCGAAAGUUUUGAAGUACGCGGUGACAUUCGGUUUCGAUAAGCUUNNNNNNNNNNNNNNNNNNNNNNNNNNNNNNNNNNNNNNNNNNNNNNNNNNNNNNNNNNNNNNNNNNNNNNNNNNNNNNNNNNNNNNNNNNNNNNNNNNNNCGAUACUACUUUAGUUACUCCCACUAUGGCCAGCCUUAUUUUAAUGAGGAGUUUAGACGACAUUCGUCGAGGAGCACCCCGAGCUCCACCAGCCUCACACUCCUCGACGAAUGCCCCCACCCAUGCGCCUCCACAACUCGCUGCCCAUGACAUCUGACGACCGACGCUUCCGGCAAACUGGCCCCCGCCCUCGGACCUCGUUGGCCACACGCAUGUGCCGCUCACCUGCUCCCGGCGACACCACUGGAGAAGCAAGAGAUGGCAGAGUCGUCGUCCCGUCCAUCCUCCGGUGUCGCAAUCGCAGCAGCGCAUCCUCUAUGUUAAGCUUCCUCAAUCCCAUCGCUGGAGACGUCAAGCGUGCUCGAAUAUCGCCUCCUCCACCACCGCGAUUACAUCACUCAUCGCGCUCAACCUUGUCUCCUCGCUUUGAUCCCACUAUCGCACCCUUGAUAUGACCAUUACCGCUCGCUUGGUGAGCCUCCAGCGUCUGGGAGCCCACUAUUGCCCUGCGCACCGCCCUGCAUCACCACCACAACUCUCUGAUGCACCAUGGAUAGCUCCAUGCACCGCUUGCCUUUGCUCCCACACAGCAAGGCUGCAGCCUGCAGCUUCCUCAAGCAGAUGUGGUCGGUGUGCCAUCUGUUGGCCCAGACCGUGUCAUCAAGUACUUUCCGACGACACACGACGACUGAUGACAAUCGAUGAUGAAGCAAACCAACGCUGACGAACUCGACGAAGUUCCUUUACGUCGAGGUGUACUACACCAACGUAGCACAACUAGCAAGCUAGCAAGCUAGCUGAUCGAUUUGAAGAAACUCACGUAUGGGAAGCUAGCAGCCGUGAUGGAUUCACCUGGUUCCUACGUACGCAUAUACGAGUCGCCGGCUGCUAAUUGGGUCGCUCCAAGUCUCACGAGACAACACGCCAAGCUGGCCAAAAGGCUCGUGUCGAGCCUUAUACUUUUAUUUCUUUUGAUCUCUCUGUCUCACGGUCGCAGCUUACAAGGGGAUAGCUACCUAUAUAUAAUAGUCGGGACAUUAGAUAAGAUAACCUACACGGCUACGAAUCCUAAUCCUACCACUAUACGAUGAUUGUCCUAUGUACAAACCGGACACAAACCACACAAGUCGUGGUUACUUCCAACAAUCACCCCCCUAAAACAACGUCAUCAUGUCACAGCUUCGACGCCGAUCCUUCUUUGCAUUUCCAGAAACUUCUCCCGAUCCAAAGCCUUGGUCAGGAUGUCCGCCAACUGAUCAUCGUUGCAAUUGUAGUUGACCUCCGUCUUCUCUUCUUCCACGUAGUCCUUCAUGUAGUGAUACAUCGUAUCAAUGUACUUGCUCCAAUCAUGCCGCACUAGAUCCUCACAUAGAAAAAAUUUAGACUCGUUAUCAACAUUGAGCACCACUUAUUCCGGAUCUCGAUCCAUGAGAUCACCGUGUAGCCUUAGCCACACAUCUUGACACUCUGCUUCACUUGAAGUCGAUGUCAUCACUUUCUGCUUUCGUGAUAGCCAGCUUACUAUGCUUACACCAAAGAAACAUGCCACCUCCAAGGUACUCUUACGGUCGUCAACAAUUCCUUCCUUGUCACUAUCACUAUAGCCGAGUAGUCUCACGAUCUUCUUCUUGCUCAGCUCAAGACGAGGUUUCAUUGAAGCAUCAAUUGGAUUGCAAUCUUUCAUAUCGCAACUUUCAAGUACUUUCCUUGUGUAUCCCUCCUUGCAUAUUGAAAUCCCUUCCGGCUUUUGAUGUACCUCUGGUCCGAGGUAGCAACUCAAAACACCUAGAUCAUACAUCUUGAAAAACUCCUUCAUUUGUAGCUUGAACUUUGCAAUCACCUCUUCAUCUGCUCUAGUAAUCAAUAGAUCAUGGUCGUAGAUGCCAACUAGUAGACGAUCCCUUCCUUCACCUCUCUUAUACAUUGCAUGCUCGAGUGGGGCUUUCUCAAAUCCAAGAGAAAUCAUAGUAUGAUCAAGUUUGAUGUUCCACGUCCAAUUGUUGGCCCAGACCUUGUCGUCGAGUACUUUCCGACGACAUGCGACAACCGAUGACAAUCGACGACGAAGCAAAGCAAUGCUGACGAACUCGACAAAGUUCCUUUACGUCGAGAUGUACUACACCAACGUAGCACAGCUAGCAAGUUAGCUGAUCGAUUUGAAGAAACUCACGUAUGGGAAGCUAGCAGCCCUCAUGGAUUCACCUAGUUCCUACGUAUGCAUGUACGAGUCGCAGGCUGCUAAUUGGGUCGCUCCAAGUCUCACGAGACAACACGCCAAGCUGGCCAAAAGGCUCGUGUUGAGAUUCAAUAUAAAUAAUGGAGCGAUUCAAUAUCUACUACAAAACUAGGAUUUUCCCAUUAUUUAAAGAAGUAAAAAACUAAGAAAACAAAACCAAUGUGAAGUUCAAAUUAAAAUAACACAGAAGUUCGGAGUUUAUUAAAACCUAGGAUUUACAUGUUCAAAAAACAAAAACAAAACACAUCACCAUUUUUGGAAUUUUUAAAAUCAACACAUAAAAUGAAAAACAUUUGUUGCUAGAAGUUCAAGUGCUUGGUGAGGGAAAGUUUGAAAGUGCUCGGCUAAAGACUUCCGUUUUCGGUUGAGUAGCAGUAGUCCCCAACUAUUUGGUGCUUUUUUCUAUCAUUUAUGCUCAUACAUUUGUGUCUCCGGAAUCCUCUAUGUCGUUCUGGUGCUCGCUACCCACAUAAGCAGAGGGAGGAAUAAGUUAACCACAUGGCAGGGGAGAAGGUCAGACAUGAGGUGCAAGGCACACGGGUGUCACCAUUGGGAGUUCAAGAAGAUGGUCAUGAUUUGUGAGAAUAAGUGUUGUUGCUGGGAUGCACUAUUGCUUCUUGUGAGGCCGCAUCGAGCUAGUUUCCUCAUCUACCUGGGUAUGCGCCUGUGCCUCACCACUGAACUCCUUUGUAUAUCCAGCAAAAAUAUNNNNNNNNNNNNNNNNNNNNNNNNNNNNNNNNNNNNNNNNNNNNNNNNNNNNNNNNNNNNNNNNNNNNNNNNNNNNNNNNNNNNNNNNNNNNNNNNNNNNGAGACUCCUAGGCGGUAGGAGUUCUUCGGAGAGGAAUCAAUCCGUGUGAUUUCCCCCGGAAAAUUUUGUGAGGGUUUGGAAGCCACCUCAAAGGCUUACCACUAGUGCUUGAGAAACGCCUUCGUGGAGUUGUCUCAAAGGGAGAAUAGGGUGAGCCUUCGUGGCGUUGGUGUGCCUUCGUGGUAACAUCCAGCUCUCUAACGGUGACUAGCUUCCCUCCAAGGAAGUGAACAUCGGGAUACAUCUUCGUCUGAGUGACCUUGGUUAUCCUUAACCCUAACUCCUUACUUGUGGUUUACUUGUGUUAUUUGAGCAUACAUACAUUGCAUAUUGCUUGUGCUUAUUAUAUUGUGUUGGCCAUUCCUUGUACAAGAUUAAUCAUUCAAGCAUACCCUCUGUAUCCACACGUACAUACUUGCAACCCUUGAUAUAUCGUGUGAUAUAGUGUGAUCUAGUAUCUUGUGUUAUUUACCUACUUGUCGUGUGAUAUAGCUCAAGUAAGUUUGUGUAACUUACUUGUGCUUGUUAGUAACUGCAUUGUGUCCAUCUUGGUAGAUCGUGUUGUUGAUACACGUUGCAGUGCCUAGUGCAUUUAGGAUUUGUGCUUGACAAGUACCCUCUUAGUUUAUUUCCGCAUCAGGUUCAAGCCAAAUCUUAAGAAGUUUUUAAAUAGCCUAUUCACCCCCCUCUAGGCGUCAUCGAGGUCUUUUCAAUUGGUAUCAGAGCUAGGUCUCUCUUUAAUUAGGUUUCACGACCUAGAGAGUAUCGAUGUCGACUAUUGGAUUAGUGCACAAUGGCAUCUUUGACUUUGAUGGCACAAAUUAUACCCUAUGGAGAAUUCGUAUGCUUCAUCACUUUCGGGCCAUGGGCCCAAAUACUUUACGAAUUGUUCUUGUAGGGAUUGCCGAAAAAAAGGAUGAUGCAUCUUCAUCUACUAAUGAAAUGUAUCUUGAUUGUGAGGCCUUUCUUGCCAUUCAUCGAACCAUAAGUCCUGAAGUGUUUAAGUCUAUCUCGACUUGCAAGUCGGCUCAUGAAGUUUGGACUAAACUUGAAGAUAUAUAUGGUGGGUCCAAUCUUGAUGAAGAUGGUAUUAUGAUGAAGGAGUUGGUGCAUGAACUCUUCACUCUUUUCGAUCUUAAAGAGUCCACCACUACUUCCAUAUCCGAUUGCUUGCACACCUCAGCAUCUUCAAUCUCACAAGGUAAUGACAUGGUGAGUGAAGAAAUAUAUGUUGAUGAAAAUGUCAUAGCCUCUAUGGACACGAGCAUAUCUAGCACCACACAUAGUGUAAAUUAUUGUGCUGAUAGGUCAUGCAUUUCACCUAAAGAUUCCUUGACAAAUGUCUGUGGUGAUAUGCUUGCUUCCUCGUGUCCUCUUGAUCAAAAUAUCUUGUUUCUCCCUAGUUGCUCUAUGACUAAUCAUUUAGGGGAUAUUAAGAAAUAUGAAGUACUUUUGACUAAUGAAGAAUCUGAUUCACCAAAAGAAUCAUCAUCAACUCCUCCAGUUCACAUGUGCCUCAUGGCAAGAGGUAAUAAUGAGGUAUCAUCUUCCCUGUGCAAUAACGAUGAUAUUUGCGAUGAGGAUGAUGAUGAUGAGUUGACUGAAAAUAUCUAUGUGAUCAGUAAAAUUCUUCAUAAAGCUAAAAAUAACGCUCUUCAAAGAUUCCAAGAUGUUCUUUCUUACUUUGAAAAUUGUAAUGAUUCACUUAAUCAUGAACAAGCUAAAAGUGAACAACUUGAACAUGAACUUGAGAAGAGUCAUCAAGCAUGUAGAGACUUAAGAUCUUCAAAAGGAGAGAUUGAAGUUGCUCAUGAUAAACUUAAAAAGGAUUUUGAGGUCCUUCUCCUUGAAUGCAAUAAUGUCAAGGGAGAGCUCAUCAAAACCUCUAAGAUCUAUGAGGAGCUUCAAUCUACUCAUGAGAAGUCUCUAUUUGCUACUUACUCGUCUCAUAUUGUUGAUGAUACUUGUACAUCUAACUCUACAUCAUUUGAAGUAUCAACAUUGAAGGAGAAUGUUGAGCUACGUGCUCAACUUGAUUUACUAACUAGCAAUUAUGGGAAGUUGGAAGAAAACCAUGUAAUGCUCACAAGCUCUCAUGCCGAUCUUCUAACAUCCCAUAAUGUGCAAAAGUUAGCUUAUGAGGCUAUCAUCACCAAGGUAACAUCUAGCGAGCCUCAUGUGGACAAUGGCACUACUUCUAGUCAAAGUACUAUAUUUCCAUGUGCUAGUCCUCGUAAUUCGUCUACUCAUAAUGUUGCUACCUCGUGUGAUGAAUUACUUUCCUUGCCUUGUUGCUCUAACAUUGAAGCUUACACUUCCUCCAGUACUUGCAUUGAUACUAACCGUGCAGAGGAAAUCAAAGAGCUCAAGGCCCAAGUCACUUCUUUGAAGAAAGACUUGGAACAGUGUCAUGAAGGGAUGCCCACACUCAACAACGUCCUGUGUGAGCAAACAUCUCCGAAUGACAAAAAUGAGUUUGGAGUAAACUCAAACAAGAACAAGAGGGGCCUAGAACAAGUCAAGAAUUCGGCCAAAAUCAUUUGCUUCAAGUGCAAAGUUAAAGGGCACCAUGUUAGAUCCCUCUGAAGACGAAGUCUCAAAGUCACAAGCAACAAGGGAAGCGGUCACAAACUCAAUCACAUAUUCAACUACAAGUUGAAGGAAGGCCUCUUCCCAAUAAGACCCAAGCCAACACUCCCCAAGGUGAGAAAUCAACUGGGAAGAAAACAAAGGGUAGAUGUUGUUGUGGAUGGUGAAGGAAGGCCUCUUCCCAAUAAGACCCAAGUCACUUAAUCAUGGUGAUGUCCAUCUACGAGAGGGGAUGAGUGAUCUACAUACCCUUGUAGACCGUACAGCAGAAGCGUUAGUGAACACGAUUGAUGUAGUGGAACGUCCUCACGUCCCUCAAUCCGCCCCGCGAACUAUCCCGCGAUCAGUCCCACGAUCUAGUGCCGAACGGACGGCACCUCCGCGUUCAGCACACGUACAGCUCGACGAUGAUCUCAGCCUUCUUGAUCCAGCAAGAGAGACGGAGAGGUAGAAGAGUUCUCCGGCAGCGUGACGGCGCUCCGGAGGUUGGUGAUGAUCUCGUCUCAGCAGGGCUCCGCCCGAGCUCCGCAGAAACGCGAUCUAGAGGAAAAACCGUGGAGGUAUGUGGUCGGGCUGCCGUGGAAAAGUCGUCUCAAAUCAGCCCUAAAACCUCCAUAUAUAUAGGUGGGAGAGGGGGGGCCUUGCCUUGGGGCUCAAGGAGCCCCAAGGGGUUCGGCCGAGCCAAGGGGGGAAGGUCUCCCCCCCAAACCGAGUUGGACUUGGUUUGGUGGGUGGGAGUCCUUCCUUCCCUUCCCACCUCCUCUUUUUUUUCUCUUCUCUUUGAUUUUUCUUCCAAUGCACAUAGGGCCCUUUUGGGCUGUCCCACCAGCCCACUAAGGGCUGGUGCGCCACCCUUAAGGCCUAUGGGCUUCCCCGGGGUGGGUUACCCCCCCGGUGAACUCCCGGAACCCAUUCGUCAUUCCCGGUACAUUCCCGGUAACUCUGAAAACCUUCCGGUAAUCAAAUGAGGUCAUCCUAUAUAUCAAUCUUCGUUUCCGGACAAUUUCGGAAACCGUCGUGAUGUCCGUGAUCUCAUCCGGGACUGCGAACAACAUUCGGUAACCAACCAUAUAACUCAAAUACGCAUAAAACAACGUCGAACCUUAAGUGUGCAGACCCUGCGGGUUCGAGAACUAUGUAGACAUGACCUGAGAAACUCCUCGAUCAAUAUCCAAUAGCGGGACCUGGAUGCCCAUAUUGGAUCCUACAUAUUCUACGAAAAUCUUAUCGUUUGAACCUCAGUGCCAAGGAUUCAUAUAAUCCCAUAUGUCAUUCCCUUUGUCCUUCGGUAUGUUACUUGCCCGAGAUUCGAUCGUCAGUAUCCGCAUACCUAUUUCAAUCUCGUUUACCGGCAAGUCUCUUUACUCAUUCCGUAAUACAAGAUCCCGCAACUUACCCUAAGUUACAUUGCUUGCAAGGCUUGUGUGUGAUGUUGUAUUACCGAGUGGGCCCCGAGAUACCUCUCCGUCACACGGAGUGACAAAUCCCAGUCUUGAUCUAUACUAACUCAACGAACACCUUCGGAGAUACCUGUAGAGCAUCUUUAUAGUCACCCAGUUACGUUGUGACGUUUGAUACACACAAAGUAUUCCUCCGGUGUUAGUGAGUUAUAUGAUCUCAUGGUCAUAGGAACAAAUACUUGACACGCAGAAAACAGUAGCAACAAAAUGACACGAUCAACAUGCUACGUCUAUUAGUUUGGGUCUAGUCCAUCACGUGAUUCUCCUAAUGACGUGAUCCAGUCAUCAAGCAACAACACCUUUGUUCAUAAUCAGAAGACACUGACUAUCUUUGAUCAACUGGCUAGCCAACUAGAGGCUUGCUAGGGACAGUGUUUUGUCUAUGUAUCCACACAUGUAAAUGAGUCUUCAUUCAAUACAAUUAUAGCAUGGAUAAUAAACGAUUAUCUUGAUACAGGAAUUAUAAUAAUAACUAUAUUUAUUAUUGCCUCUAGGGCAUAAUUCCAACAGUCUCCCACUUGCACUAGAGUCAAUAAUCUAGCCCUCACAUCAUCAUGCGAAUUACAUUGUAAUAAAUCUAACACCCAUACAGUUCUGGUGUUGAUCAUGCUUUGGCCGUGGAAGAGGUUUAGUCAGCGGGUCUGCUACAUUCAGAUCUGUGCGCACUUUGCAUAUAUUUAUGUCCUCUCCUUCGACGUAGUCGCGGAUGAGGUUGAAGCGUCGUUUGAUGUGUCUAGACUUCUUGUGAAACCGUGGUUCCUUUGCUAAGGCAAUGGCACCCGUGUUGUCACAGAACAAGGUUAUUCGAUUCAGUGCGCUUGGCACCACUCCAAGAUCCGUCAUGAAGUGCUUCAUCUAGACACCCUCCUUAGCCGCCUCCGAGGCAGCCAUGUACUCCGCUUCACAUGUAGAAUCUGCUACGACGCUUUGCUUGGAACUGCACCAGCUUACCGCACCCCCAUUAAGAAUAAAUACGUAUCCGGUUUGCGACUGAGAGUCGUCCGGAUCUGUGUCAAAGCUUGCAUCGACGUAACCUUUUACGGCGAGCUCUUCGUCACCUCCAUACACGAGAAACAUCUCCUUAGUCCUUUUCAGGUACUUCAGGAUAUUCUUGAGCGCUGUCAACUGAUCCACUCCUGGAUUACUCUGGAACCUACCUGCCAUACUUAUGGCCAGGCUAACGUCCGGUCUAGUGCACAGCAUUGCAUACAUGAUAGAACCUAUGGCUGAAGCAUAGGGGACGGAGCGCAUAUGCUCUCUAUCUUCAUCAGUUGCUGGGCACUGAGUCUUACUCAAUCUCGUACCUUGUAAAACUGGCAAGAAGCCCUUCUUGGACUGUUUCAUUUUGAACCUCUUCAAAACUUUAUCAAGGUAUGUGCUUUGUGAAAGUCCUAUCAGGCGUUUUGAUCUAUCCCUAUAGAUCUUAAUGCCUAGAAUGUAAGCAGCUUCUCCUAGGUCCUUCAUAGAGAAACUUUUAUUCAAGUAAUCCUUUAUGCUUUCCAAAAACUCCAUGUUGUUUCCAAUCAGCAAUAUGUCAUCCACAUAUAAUAUUAGAAACGCCACAGAGCUCCCACUCACUUUCUUGUAAAUACAAGAUUCUCCAACCACUUGUAUAAACCCAAAUGCUUUGAUCACCUCAUCAAAACGUUUGUUCCAACUCCGAGAUGCUUGCACCAGUCCAUAAAUGGAUCGCUGGAGCGUGCACACCUUGUUAGCAUUCUUAGGAUUGACAAAACCUUCGGGUUGUAUCAUAUACAAUUCUUCCUUAAGGAAAUCGUUAAGGAACGCCGUUUUGACAUCCAUCUGCCAGAUUUCAUAAUCAAAAAAUACAGCUAUUGCUAACAUGAUUCUGACGGACUUAAGCAUCGCUACGGGUGAGAAUGUCUCAUCGUAGUCAACUCCUUGAACUUGUGAAAAACCCUUUGCCACAAGUCGAGCUUUUAUAAACGGUCACAUUGCCGUCAGCGUCCAUCUUCCUCUUAAAGAUCCAUUUGUUCUGAAUAGCCUUGCGGCCCUCAGGCAGUACCUCCAAAGUACACACUUUGUUCUCAUACAUGGAUUCUAUCUCAGACUUCAUGGCUUCUAGCCAUUUGUUGGAAUCUGGGCCCACCAUUGCUUCUUCAUAAUUUGCAGGUUCAUUGUUGUCCAACAACAUGAUUGAUAAGACGGGAUUACCGUACCACUAUGGAGCAGUACGUGGUCUCGUCGACCUGUGUGGUUCGACAGAAACUUGAACCGGAGUUUCAUGAUCAUCAUCAUUAACUUCCUCCUCAACCGGCGUCGCAACGACAGAGGUUUCCCCUUGCCCUGCGCCACCAUCCAGAGGGAUGAGAGGUUCGACAACCUCGUCAAGUUCUAUCUUCCUCCCACUCAAUCUCUCGAGAGAAACUCCUUCUCGAGAAAAGCUCCGUUUUUAGCAACAAACACUUUGCCCUCGGGUUUGAGAUAGAAGGUGUACCCAACUGUCUCUUUUGGGUAACCUAUGAAGACGCACUUUUCUGCUUUGGGUUCCAGUUUUUCAGGCUGAAGCUUUUUGACAUAAGCAUCACAUCCCCAAACCUUAAGAAACGACAACUUUGGCCUUUUGCCAUACCACAGUUCGUAUGGUGUCGUCUCAACGGAUUUUGAUGGUGCCCUAUUUAAAGUGAAUGCAGCUGUUUCUAAUGCAUAACCCCAAAACGAUAACGGCAAAUCGGUAAGAGACAUCAUGGAUCGCACCAUCUCUAAUAAAGUACGAUUACGACGUUCGGACACACCAUUACACUGUGGUGUUCCAGGCGGUGUCAACUGUGAAACAAUCCCACAUUGUCUUAAGUGAGCACCAAACUCGAAACUCAGAUAUUCACCCCCACGAUCAGACCGUAGGAACUUGAUCUUCUUGUUACGAUGAUUUUCAACUUCACUCUGAAAUUGCUUGAACUUUUCAAAUGUUUCAGACUUGUGCUUCAUCAAGUAGACAUAACCAUAUCUACUCAAAUCGUUAGUGAAGGUGAGAAAAUAACGAUAUCCGCCGCGUGCCUCCACGCUCAUCGGACCACACACAUCGGUAUGUAUGAUUUCCAACAAGUCACUUGCAUGCUCCAUUGUUCCGGAGAAUGGAGUCUUAGUCAUCUUGCCCAUGAGGCAUGGCUCGCACGUGUCAAGUGAAUCAAAGUCAAGUGACUCCAAAAGUCCAUCAGCAUGGAGUUUCUUCAUGCGCUUUACACCAAUAUGACCUAAGCGGCAGUGCCACAAAAAUAUGGCGCUAUCAUUGUUAACUCUAACUCUUUUGGUCUCAAUGUUAUGUAUGUGUGUAUCACUAUCAAGAUUCAAUAUGAACAAUCCUCUCACAUUGGGUGCAUGACCAUAAAAGAUGUUACUCAUAGAAAUAGAACAACCAUUAUUCUCUGACUUAAAAGAGUAACCGUCUCGCAAUAAACAAGAUCCAGAUAUAAUGUUCAUGCUCAACGCAGGCACUAAAUAACAAUGAUUUAAGUUCAUAACUAAUCCUGAUGGUAACUGAAGUGAAACUGUGCCGACGGCGAUUGCAUCAACCUUGGAACCAUUUCCUACGCGCAUCGUCACUUCAUCUUUCGCCAACCUUCGUCUAUUCCGCAGUUCCUGUUUCGAGUCGCAAAUAUGAGCAACAGAACCGGUAUCGAAUACCCAGGCACUACUACGAGAGCCGGUUAAGUACACAUCAAUAACUUGUAUAUCAAAUAUACCUGAUUUUUCUUUGGCCGCCUUCUUAUCUGCGAGAUACUUGGGGCAAUUGCGCUUCCAGUGACCCAUACCCUUGCAAUAGUAACACUCCGUUUCAGGCUUAGGUCCAGCUUUGGGUUUCUUCGUCGGAUUGGCAACAGGCUUGCCGCUCUUCUUUGAAUUACCCUUCUUGCCUUUGCCGUUUCUCUUGAAACUAGUGGUCUUAUUCACCAUCAACACUUGAUGCUCUUUACGGAGUUNNNNNNNNNNNNNNNNNNNNNNNNNNNNNNNNAAAUAGAACAACCAUUAUUCUCUGACUUAAAAGAGUAACCGUCUCGCAAUAAACAAGAUCCAGAUAUAAUGUUCAUGCUCAACGCAGGCACUAAAUAACAAUGAUUUAAGUUCAUAACUAAUCCUGAUGGUAACUGAAGUGAAACUGUGCCGACGGCGAUUGCAUCAACCUUGGAACCAUUUCCUACGCGCAUCGUCACUUCAUCUUUCGCCAACCUUCGUCUAUUCCGCAGUUCCUGUUUCGAGUCGCAAAUAUGAGCAACAGAACCGGUAUCGAAUACCCAGGCACUACUACGAGAGCCGGUUAAGUACACAUCAAUAACUUGUAUAUCAAAUAUACCUGAUUUUUCUUUGGCCGCCUUCUUAUCUGCGAGAUACUUGGGGCAAUUGCGCUUCCAGUGACCCAUACCCUUGCAAUAGUAACACUCCGUUUCAGGCUUAGGUCCAGCUUUGGGUUUCUUCGUCGGAUUGGCAACAGGCUUGCCGCUCUUCUUUGAAUUACCCUUCUUGCCUUUGCCGUUUCUCUUGAAACUAGUGGUCUUAUUCACCAUCAACACUUGAUGCUCUUUACGGAGUUCAGACUCUGCGACUUUCAGCAUCGCAAACAACUCGCCGGGAGACUUGUUCAUCCCUUGCAUGUUGUAGUUCAACACAAAGCCUUUAUAGCUUGGCGGUAGUGAUUGAAGGAUUCUGUCAGUGAUAGCCUCUUGCGGGAGUUCAAUCCCCAGCUCAGCUAGACGGUUUGAGUACCCAGACAUUUUGAGCACAUGUUCACUGACAGACGAGUUUUCCUCCAUCUUGGAAGCAUAGAAUUUAUCGGAGGUCUCAUACCUCUCGAUCCGGGCGUUCUUCUGAAAGAUAAACUUCAACUCCUGGAACAUCUCAAAUGCUCCAUGACGCUCAAAGCGACGUUGAAGUCCCGGUUCUAGGCCAUACAAGACUGCACAUUGAACUAUUGAGUAGUCCUCCUUACGUGCUAACCAAGCGUUCUUAACAUCCUGAUCAGCCGUAGCGGGUGAUUCAUCUCCUAGCGCAGCAUUAAGGACAUAAUCCUUCUUCCCAGCUUGUAAGAUUAGCUUAAGAUUACGAGCCCAGUCUACAAAGUUGCUUCCAUCAUCUUUCAACUUAGCUUUCUCUAGGAACGCAUUAAAAUUCAGGGUGACUGUCGCGUGAGCCAUGAUCUACAACACAAAUAUAUUCAAAGUGGACUUAGACUAUGUUCAAGAUAAUUAGAGUUUAACUUAAUCAAAUUAUUCGCUAAACUCCCACUCAAAAAGUACAUCUCUCUAGUCAUUUGAGUGGUUCAUGAUCCACUUACACUAGCUCAAGUCCGAUCAUCACGUGAGUUGAGUAUAGUUUCAGUGGUAAGCAUACCUAUGCUAAUCAUAUCAUCUAUAUGAUUCAUGAUCGACCUUUCGGUCUCAUGUGUUCCGUGGCCAUGUCUGCACAUGCUAGGCUCGUCAAGCUUAACCCGAGUGUUCCGCGUGCGCAACUGUUUUGCACCCGUUGUAUGUGAACGUUGAGUCUAUCACACCCGAUCAUCACGUCGUGUCUCGAAACGACGAACUGUAGCAACGGUGCACAGUCGGGGAGAACACAGUUUCGUCUUGAAAUUUUAGUGAGAGAUCACCUCAUAAUGCUACCGUCGUUCUAAGCAAAAUAAGGUGCAUAAAAGGAUUAACAUCACAUGCAAUUCAUAAGUGACAUGAUAUGGCCAUCAUCACGUGCUUCUUGAUCUCCAUCACCAAAGCAUCGGCACGAUCUUCUUGUCACCGGCGCCACACCAUGAUCUCUAUCAACGUGUCAUCAUCGGGGUUUUCGUGCUACUCAUGCUAUUACUACUAAAGCUACAUCCUAGCAAAAUAGUAAACGCAUCUGCAAGCACAAAUGUUAGUAUAAAGACAACCCUAUGGCUCCUGCCGGUUGCCGUACCAUCGACGUGCAAGUCGAUAUUAUCUAUUACAACAUGAUCAUCUCAUACAUCCAAUAUAUCUCAUCACAUCGUUGGCCAUAUCACAUCACAAGCAUACCCUGCAAAAACAAGUUAGACGUCCUCUAAUUUUGUUGUUGCAUGUUUUACGUGGUGACCACGGGUAUCUAGUAGGAUCGCAUCUUACUUACGCAAACACCACAACGGAGAUAUAUGAGUUGCUAUUUAACCUCAUCCAAGGACCUCCUCGGUCAAAUCCGAUUCAACUAAAGUUGGAGAAACCGACACUUGCCAGUCAUCUUUGAGCAACGGGGUUACUCGCAGCGAUGAAACCAGUCUCUCGUAAGCGUACGAGUAAUGUCGGUCCAAGCCGCUUCAAUCCAACAAUACCGCGGAAUCAAGAAAAGACUAAGGAGGGCAGCAAAACGCACAUCACCGCCCACAAAAACUUUUGUGUUCUACUCGAGAAGACAUCUAUGCAUGAACCUAGCUCAUGAUGCCACUGUUGGGGAACGUCGCAUGGGAAACAAAAAAUUUCCUACGCGCACGAGGACCUAUCAUGGUGAUGUCCAUCUACGAGAGGGGAUGAGUGAUCUACAUACCCUUGUAGACCGUACAGCAGAAGCNNNNNNNNNNNNNNNNNNNNNNNNNNNNNNNNNNNNNNNNNNNNNNNNNNNNNNNNNNNNNNNNNNNNNNNNNNNNNNNNNNNNNNNNNNNNNNNNNNNNGCAGGAGGCUGCCGCCCAGCCGGUUGUGCGCGAUGUUCACCCUCGUGAUGUUCCGGCACUCGAACAUGCCAUCCGGGACUACGCCGGACAGCGAGUUGUUGUACAGCAUGAACUGCUGGAGCGAUUGGAGCUUCUCAAACGUCGCCGGGAUUUCACCGGACAGAGCAUUGUCCGCCAAGUCGAGAACCUGGAGCUGAUGACAGUCGCCGAGCUCCGGCGGAAUCAGGCCCGACAGCUCGUUCUGCCGGAGGUGAAGGAAGAUCAGUUCGGACAGAUUCCCGAUGGACGCCGGUAUGCUCCCGUUGAACUGGUUCCCAAAGAAGUCGAUCAUCUGCAAGCUCGAGCACUUCCCGAUGGUCUCCGGUAUCUCGCCGGAGAACUGGUUCUCGUACAAGUACAGUUCCUGGAGGUUCUUCAGAUUGCCGAUGGCGUCCGGCAGCUGGCCUGUGAGCUGAUUGUGGUACAGUGCAAGGCUAGUGAGCUCAGUGAGGUUAAAGAUNAGCUGAUUGUGGUACAGUGCAAGGCUAGUGAGCUCAGUGAGGUUAAAGAUCUCCGGCGGCAGUCCGCCAGAGAGGCUGUUGUUAUUGAGCAGCAGACCCGUCAGGUUCCCGAGCUCGCCGAGCCCGGGCGGGAUGGCGCCAGAGAGGCUGUUGUUCGCCAAGUCGAGCUGCGUCAGCGCACGGCACCGCGACAGCCCGUCCGGUAUCUCCCCGGUGAGGUUGUUGGUGGAGAGCAGGAGGUGCUCGAGGCUAGUGGAUGACUCUUCUUCGUUGCUGCCGCUACACAGGUUGCCCGGAAGGCGGCCGCUGAGGUGGUUGUCGGCGAGCACAAGGAAGUUCAGCUGCGGUAGCCGGCCGAGCUCGGCGGGGAGCCCGCCAGUGAGCAUGUUACCGGACAGGUCAAUGGUGUGCACGCGAGAGAGCGCGGCGAGAGCGCGCGGCACGCUCCCAGAGAGGCGGUUGUUCAUGAGGUUGAGGUACAGGAGCUCGCCCAGAGCGCCGAGCUCCGGCGGUAUGGCGCCCUCCAAUGAAUUGUUCCCGAGGUUGAGCUUCUGGAGGUAGGAGAGCUUCCCAAGCUCCGGCGGUAUCUUGCCGGUGAGGUGAUUCCCAGCGAGAGCAAGCGCCUCGAGGCUGGCCAUGGCGCCGAUGUCCGCUGGUAUCGGCCCGGAAAGGGAGUUCUCUUGCAGGUUCAAGGCCGUGAGCGCAGCGAGCCUCCCUAGCCCCCCCGGUAUCUCUCCGGUCAGGUUGCACGACGCGAGCCCGAUCACGGUGAGGUUCCGAAGCUCCCCGAGCGCUUUGGGGAUUGGCCCCGACAAGCCAAGGUUGUCGCCGAGGCGCAGCACCUGGAGCGCGGCGAGUCUGCCCAGCGACGCGGGGAUCCCGCCGGCGAGCUGGUUGGAGUAGAGCAUGAGAAGCUGGAGCCUUUCGAGCCCCCCGAGAGCAGCCGGGAUGGGGCCGGUGAUGCGGUUGGACGACAGAUCGAUGACCUCCAGUGCGUCGAGCCGCGCGAGCGCCCCGGGAACCGGCCCGGACANNNNNNNNNNNNNNNNNNNNNNNNNNNNNNNNNNNNNNNNNNNNNNNNNNNNNNNNNNNNNNNNNNNNNNNNNNNNNNNNNNNNNNNNNNNNNNNNNNNNUGCAUAGAGAGAGCUAUAGUUGUUCCUUUCCAGCUAUUUCUGAACUUCUACGACGUGAUGCAUUUUUUCAUGUAAUAGAUUCACAACAACUAUAGGAGGGAGUAUAUUUUUACUGGAUAUACAAAGGAGUUCAGCGGUGAGGCACAAGCGCAUACCCAAGUAGAGGAGGAAACUAGCUCGAUGCGGCCUCACAAGAAGCAAUACUGCAUCCCAGCAACAACACUGAUUCUCACAAAUCAUGACCAUCUUCUUGAACUCCCAAUGGUGACACCCGUGUUCCUUGCACCUCAUGUGUGACCUUCUCCCCUGCCAUGUGGUUAACUUAUUCCUCCCUCUGUUUAUGUGGGUAGCGAGCACCAGAGCGACAUGGAGGAUUCCGGAGACACAAAUGUAUGAGCAUAAAUGAUAGAAAAAAGCAUCAAAUAGUUGGGGACUACUGCUACUCAACCGAAAACGAAAGUCUCUAGCCGAGCACUUUCAAACUUUCCCUCACCGAGCACUUGAACUUCUAGCAACAAAUGUUUUUCGUUUUAUGUGCUGGUUUUAAAAAUUCCAAAAAUGGUGAUGUGUCUUGUUUUUGUUUUUUGAACAUGUAAAUCCUAGGUUUUAAUAAACUCCGAACUUUUGUGUUAUUUUAAUUUGAACUUCACAUUGGUUUUGUUUUCUUUGUUUUUUACUUCUUUAAGUAAUGGAAAAAUCCUAGUUUUGUAAUAGAUAUUGAAUCGCUGUGUUAUUUAUAUUGAAUCUCAACACGAGCCUUUUGGCCAGCUUGGCGUGUUGUCUCGUGAGACUUGGAGCGACCCAAUUAGCAGCCGGCGACUCGUACAUGCGUACGUAGGAACCAGGUGAAUCCAUCAGGGCUGCUAGCUUCCCAUACGUGAGUUUCUUCAAACCGAUCAGUUAGCUUGCUAGCUGUGCUACGGUGGUGUAGUACAUCUCGACGUAAAGGAACUUCGUCGAGUUCAUCAGCGUUGCUUUGCUUCGUCGUUGAUUGUCAUUGGUUGUCGCGUGUCGUCGGAAAGUACUCGACGACACGGUCUGGGCCAAAAAUUGGACGUUGAACAUCAAACUUGAUCAGACUAUGAUUUCUCUUGGAUUUGAGAAACCCUACUCGAGCAUGCAAUGUACAAGAGAGGUGAAGGAAGGGAUCGUCUACUAGUUGGCAUCUACAAUGACGAUCUAUUGAUUACUAGAGCAGAUGAAGAGGUGAUUGCAAAGUUCAAGCUACAAAUGAAGGAGUUUUUCAAGAUGUAUGAUCUAGUUCUUUGGAGUUGCUACCUCGGACCAGAGGUACAUCAAAAGCCAGAAGGGAUCACACUAUGCCAGGAGGGAUACGCAAGGAAAGUACUUGAAAGCUGUGGCAUGAAAGAUUGCAAUCCAAUUGAUGCUUCAAUGAAACCUCGUCUUGAGCUGAGCAAGAAGAAGAUGGUGAGACUACUCGGCUAUAGUGAUAGUGACAAGGAAGGAAUUGUUGACGACCGUAAGAGUACCUCGGACGUGGCAUGUUUCUUUGGUGGAAGCAUAGUAUGCUGGCUAUCACGAAAGCAGAAAGUGAUGACACCGACUUCAAGUGAAGCAGAGUGUCAAGAUGUGUGGCUAAGGCUACACGAUGAUCUCAUGGAUCGAGAUCCGGAAUAAGUGGUGCUCAAUGUUAAUAAAGAGUCUAUAUUUUUUCUAUGUGAGGAUCCAGUGCGGCAUGAUUGGAGUAAGCACAUUGAUACGAUGUAUCACUACAUGAAGGACUACGUGGGAGAAGAGAAUACGGAGGUCAACUACAAUCGCAACGAUGAUCAGUUGGCGAACAUCCUGACCAAGGCUUUGGAUCGGGAGAAGUUUCUGGAUAUGCAAAGAAGGAUCGGCGUCGAAGCUGUGACAUGAUGACGUCGUGUUUAGGGGGUUGAUUGUUGGAAAUUACCACGACAUGUGUGGUCUGUGUCCGGUUCGUACACAGGACAAUCAUUCGUAGACGUGUAGGUUAUCUUAUCUAAUGUCCCGACUAUUAUAUAUAGGUAGCUAUCCCCUUGUAAGCUGCAACCGCGAGACAGAGAGAUCAAAAGCAAUAAAAGUAUAAGGCUCGACAUGAGCCUUUUGGCCAGCUUGGCGUGUUGUCUCGUGAGACUUGGAGCGACCCAAUUAGCAGUCGGCAACUCGUACAUGCGUACGUAGGAACCAGGUGAGUCCAUCAGGGCUGCUAGCUUCCCAUACGUGAGUUUCUUCAAAUCGAUCAGCUAGCUUGCUAGCUUGCUAGUUGUGCUACGUUGGUGUAGUACAUCUCAACAUAAAGGAACUUCGUCGAGUUCGUCAGCGUUGCUUUGCUUCGUCAUCGAUUGUCAUCAGUCGUCGCGUGUCGUCGGAAAGUACUCGACGACACGGUUUGGGCCAACAGAUGGCACACCGACCGCGUCUGCUUCAGGAAGCUACAGGCUGCAACCUUGUUGUGUGGGAGCAAAGGCAAGCGGUGCAUGGAGCUAUCCAUGGCGCAUCGGAGAGUUGUGGUGGUGAUGCAGGGCGGUGCGCAUGGCAGCAGUGGGCUCCCAGAGGCUGGAGGCUCACCAAGCGAGCAGUAAUGGUCAUAUCAAGGGUGCGACAGUGGGAUCAAAGCGAGGAUACAAGGUUGAUUGCGAUGAGUGAUGUAAUCGCGGUGGUGGAGGAGGCGAGUGUCGAGCACGCUUGACGUCUCCAGCGAUGGGAUUGAGGAAGCUUAACAUAGAGGACGCGUUGGUGCGAUUGCGACACCGGAGGAUGGACGGGACGACGACUCUGCCAUCUCUUGCUUCUCCAGGGGUGUCGCCGGGAGCAGGUGAGCGGCACAUGUGUGUGGCCAACGAGGUCCGAGGGCGGGGGCCAGUUUGCCGAAAGCGUCGGUCAUCGGAUGUCAUGGGCAGCGAGGUCUGGAGGCGCGUGGGUGGGGGCAUUCGUCGAGGAGUGUGAGGCUAGUGGAGUUCAGGGUGCUCCUCGAUGAAUGUCGUCUGAACUUCUCAUUAAAAUAAGGCUGGCCAUAGUGGAAGUAACUAAAGUAGUAUCAUAUACUUGGGACUAGCAAACAUGCCGAUGUGGCAGACAAUUAAAGAAGAGAGAGAGGGUUAGAGUAACAUNNNNNNNNNNNNNNNNNNNNNNNNNNNNNNNNNNNNNNNNNNNNNNNNNNNNNNNNNNNNNNNNNNNNNNNNNNNNNNNNNNNNNNNNNNNNNNNNNNNNAUACCUUGGUUCUCAAACUGAGGGAAAUACUUACCACCGCUGCGCUACAUCACCCUUUCCGCUUCGAGGGAACACCAACGCAAGGCUCCAAGGCCACGGGGGGAAUCCUUUGCAUAUUUGCCUAGGAAGUCCCUCAAGGCGUAGCCGUAGCAGAAGGAUUCCUGGUGCCGUCAACACACCUAUUUCUGGCGCCGUUGGAAGGUCUUUUGUUGCAGUAGCAGAAGUAUUUCUGGCGCCGUUGCCGGGGAAGGAGAGAUCUAUCCAAGUAGGUCUCACAAACUCAUCUCCUGCAUUUACUUUUUUUCCAGUUGCCUCUCGUUUUCCUCUCCCCCACUUCACAUUUCCAUUUUCAUUUGCCUUUCUCCUUUGUCGUUUUCUUUUACCUUUUGCCUUUUUCGUUCGCCCUUUUCUCUCGCUUGCUUUCUGUUCGCUUGUGUGCCAUGUGCCUUCAAUAUGCUUGCAUCUUCGCUUGCUGAAAAUCUAGUGAUAUGGAUCCUCAUCCACUAGCUAAUCGCUUCGAGGGUACAAAGAGUGAUCCAGGAUUGAAUCACUAAACAGCGGUCAAAGUUAUCCUUAGUAACUAGUGGACUAAGGAUUUUUUUCUCGAUUAAGGAGGUGACUAAAGAGUUCGUCGUAAAGGCAUACGUCGAUGCAAGAUUUGACACUAAUCCGAAUAACUCUGAGUAGUAAACCGGAUUCGUAUAGUGGAGCAGUCAUUUGGAAUAGUUCCAAAUGGCACGUAGUAGAAGCAUCUAUAGGAUGACAUAGAGAUUUGUAAAGCACACACGGAUCUGAAAGGUUCAGAUCCGUUGACUAAAAACCUCUCUCACAAGAAAGACAUGAUCGAGCCCCACAAUUGUAUGGGUGUUAGAUUCACUACAAUCACACACUGAUGUGAACUAGAUUAUUGACUCUAGUGCAAGUGGGAGACUGUUCGAAAUAUGCCGUAGAGGCAAUAGUAAAUUGGUUAUUAUUAUAUUUCCUUGUUCAUGAUAAUCCUUUAUUAUCCAUGCUAGAAUUGUAUUGAUUGGAAACUCAAAUACAUGUGUGGAUACGUAGACAACACAUUGUCCCUAGUGAGCCUCUAGUUGACUAGCUCGUUGAUCAAAGAUGGUCAAGGUUUCCUGGCCAUAGGAAAGUGUUGUCACUUGCUAAUGAUAUUGCAUCAUUAGGAGAAUGAUGUGAUGGACAAGACCCAAACUAUAAACGUAGUGUAUGAUCGUGUCAGUUUGUAGCUACUGUUUUCUGCAUGUCAAUGUAUUUGUUCCUAUGACCAUGAGAUCAUGCAACUCCCGGACACCGGAGGAAUACCUUGUGGGUUAUCAAACGUUGCAACAUAACUGGGUGACUAUAAAGGUGCUCUACACGUAUCUCCAAAUGUGCCUGUUGGGUUGGCAUGGAUCAAGACUGGGAUUUGUCACUUCGUGUGCGGAGGGGUAUCUCGGGGCCCACUCGGUAAUACAACAUCACAACAAGCCUUGCAAGCAAUGUGAAUAAGGAGUUAGUUACGGGAUAUUGUAUUACAGAACGUGUAAAGAGACUUGUCGGUAAAGAGGUUGAACUAGGUAUGGAGAUACCGACAAUCAAAUCCCGGGCAAGUAACAUACCGAAGGACAAAGGGAACAACAUACGGGAUUAACUGAAUCAUUGACAUAAAGGUUCAACUGAUAGAGAUCUUCAUAGAAUAUGUGGGAGCCAAUAUGGACAUCCAGGUCCCGCUAUUGGUUAUUGACCAGAGAGUGUCUCAGGUCAUGUCUGCAUAGUUCUCGAACCCGCACGGUCUGAACACUUAAGGUUCGGUGAUGUUUCGGUAUAGUUGAGUUAUGUGUGUUGGUGACUGAAGUUUUGUUCGGAAUCCCGUAUGAGAUCCCGGACGUCACGAGGAGUUCCAGAAUGGUCGGGAAACAAAGAUUGAUAUAUAGGAAGUUGGUAUUUGGAUUCCGGAAGAUUUUCGGGCAUUACCGACACUGUACCGGGAGUGACGAAUGGGUUCCGGGGGCCCACUGGGUGGGCCCACCACGCCCCAAGGGGUCCACGUGGGUUUAUUGGAUGCGCAAUAAGGCAUAAUGGGCUGACAAAGUCAUCCAAGGAAAUCCCAUGAGGAAAAAGUGGAAAAUCCAAAAGUGGUUGAGAAUUAAGGAAGGAGUCCUAAUCCAAGUGGGAUUGGAGGAGGACUCCUCCCUCCUCAACUUCGGCCGACCCAAGGGCUCCUCCCUUGUGGCGCAAGGGCUGCCCCUCCCUCCUCCUAUAUAUACUAGAGAUUUAGGGCUGUUUGAGACACAACUUUGCCACGUGUAACCCUAAACCUCUACUUUGUAGUUCUUCCUCUAGAUCGGUUUUCUGCGGAGCUCGGGCGGAACCCUACAGGAAUAGAUCACCACCACCACUGGAGCGAUGUUGUGCUACCGGGGAACUCAUCUACAUCCCCGUCUCUCUUGCUGGAUCAAGAAGGUGGAGAUCGUCAUCGAGUUGUACGUGUGCGGAACGCGGAGGUGCCGUCCGUUCGGCACUUGAUCGGGACGGAUCACGAGACGGUUCGUGGGACGGUUCAUGAGAUGGAUCGUGAAGACGUACCACUACAUCGACCGCGUUUAUUAAUGCUUCCACUUUGCGAUCUACAAGGGUAUGUGGAUCUGAUCUUCCUCUCGUAGAUGAUCAUCACCAUGAUAGGUCUUCGUGUGCGUAGGAAAUUUUUUGUUUCCCAUGCUACGUUCCUCAACACCGUCUACGGACGAUAACAGACGAUAAAAGAACGACGUCCAUCCUUGCUAUCCCGGGCUGUCGGACUGGACCCCAUCCUAGAUCGAUGAAGAGGAAGAAGAAGAAACUCCAAAUAGCACAAUCAGCGCGCUCACGUCAAAGUAACUCUUUACAUGUACCUGGAACUGGUGUUGUAGUAAUCUGCGUAGAUCAAGACUAGCAAAGCUUAAUGGGUGGGGUAUGGUUAAGUGGUGAGGCUGCACCAAGCGACUAAGCAUUUAUUUGGUGGCUAACUUACGAGUACAAGAAUAAAAGAAGGGGAUGAUCUACGCAUCUCAGACGUGAACACUGUUAAUCAAAUGAAUGAUCCUGAAUACCUACUUACGUCAGACAUAACCCCACCGUGUCCUUGAUCGGAGAAGGAGCUCACGAAAGAGACAGUCACGGUUCUGCACUCGGUUGGCAAGUUUUAAUUAAGUUAACUCCAAGUUAUCUAGAACCGGAUGUUAAACAAAGUUUUCACAUUGCCACAUAACCACGGGCAUGGCUUUUCGAAAGAUUUAACCCUGCACGGGUUCUCCAACUAGUCCAUCAGAAACUACCACACGCAACGAUGGAAUGACCUCGGCCAGGGAAACAUGUGAUCUCCUCGGGUUCCUAUUGGAAAACCUCAACCUCGAGAUAACCCAAAGCAUCCUCGGAAUCCCUCGCACAAGACGCUCUAGAAAGGUAAAACAAGUCCAGCAAGGCCGCCCGAUGUGUCGACAUCCCGAUAGGAUCCGCGUAUCUCAUUCUCAGGACACGACAGAUGAGCUAUGGUUACCACACCAAACGGCGAGUUGCCCCGGGUAGCGUUAAUAAGCUGCUCUGUUUUGGACCGGCACCAUCAACCCUGGCCCUCCCUGUAUUAUGUUGAAUUAAUCCUCGGGUUCAUGACGCCCUAUGUUUUUCAGUAUUAACAGAAUUAUUAUGUUGGGAAAAUAUAGUACCAAUGUUGGGCCUUGCCAGACGAGCUUUAUCCCAAAACGAGAAUCUAGGGGGUCCCCAUAACAACCCCAAGCAUGUUAGGAGUGCUCAUUUAUGGAACAUAACACCGGUAGCCAAAACUAAGGCGGCAAAGGUGGAAUAAAACACCAGGCUAGAAAGGCCGAGCCUUCCACCUUUUACCAAGUAUAUAGGUGUAUUAACUUAAAUAACAAUUAAUAUGGUGAUAUAACAAGGAACCCAUGUUUUCACAUGGAAGCAACUGCACCUGCAACUAGCAACUCUAACGCAUGGUUAAGCAAGCAGUAACAUAGCCAAACAGUGGUUUGCUAGGUUGUGAACAGGUUGAAGGUUUUCAUGGCAAUGUUGGGAGGCAUGUUAAACAGGUGGUAGGCAGCGAGACAUAACAAUAGAAAUGAUACAACUAGCAUGGCAAUGAUAGUAAUGAUAUCUAGGGAAAUGAUCAUCUUGCAUGAGAUCCUGCAUGGAAGAAGAAUGACUGCGUGAAGCAGACGAACCGAAGUAGUCGAACGGAUCCUCACAUUCCGACACACUUGCGGAACUCUAUCGAGACAAAGCAAACCGGAAACAAGAAUCAACACACAAUAUUCACCAGGCACAUGCACGACAUGAUGCACAACACAUAUGAUGCAUGAUCAGUUUCAAAUAUGCAAGGCAUGGCAUGACAAUCACAACAGUCAAACGCUACACAUUAAGUGAAGCUCAAUAUGCAAUGAGUUGCAUAUUGAUGAAACUGCACAUUUAAUUAUUUAGUGCGCUCCCGUUUAUUUACAUGACAAUAUUAAAUGUUGUUAACAUGGCAAGGGGUGAAGCUCAAAUUAAUCUACCUAUGUAUGCAUUUUAAAUGAGGCCGAAAAUGACAUAUAGCAUCUCCGAAAUGCCCCCGCGCGUUAAAUUUUAAUUCUGUCCAGAUUUGUCCUAAUCACAUUUUAUGUUUGUUGAACGGAAAAACCAAGUGGUUCAUGUGAUUCUACUCAUCGUUCUAGUCCAUUUACAUAUAUGGUUCACCUCCAACGGAGCUACGGUUAAUUAACUACAACCUAAACCGUUUCUAUCGUGUCGACACGCAAACCGAUGCAAACAACACACAUAACAACUCUAAAUAUACAUGAGAGUUGGAAAAUAUUAAUCUCCGUGAAAUUAUAGCUAAGUUACAUAUCUAACUUGUCGCGAUCCGACGCACGGAAUAGAAAUUACGGGGUUUGAAAAUAUGCUCUGUUCCAAAAUUAAAUAAAUUCGCAAAACUACAAAAACACUAACGGGCCGAAACUAGAUCUGGCCCAAAACAGGACAUGGGCGCAAUACAGUUAUACUACGCACAUGCGCAAAAUAGAGGGCUCAAUGGAGGCUCACCUUCGGGCCUUCAGGCCGGCUGGAGGAGAGGCUGAGGUGGGCCGAGGGACGCAGCCAGGCACUGGGCCGCUUGGCGGCGCGCGAGGCCUGCGGAUCUAGGCCCCGGAGACAGCGCGGGGCUGGGCCUGGUUGCACCGCUAGGCAUGGCCCAAGCCAGCACUCGAGCGGCGGUCAACAGGGCUCGACCAGCUCAUCUCCUACCUUCGGCAAAGGAUGAACUUGGCUGAGUUGGUGGGCACCUCCGGCGGGCAGCGACGAGGACCGGCGGGGAUGGCCAGAAUGGGCGAAGAUUCGUCGGAUCUGGGCGAGGGGGUGCCAUCCCCGACGACGGACAGGGCCAUCGGCGAGUUCCGAGCAGCAGUGGGGCAUGAUGCGGGUAGGCAGCGGCUCGGCGGGGCCUCAGCCGGCGGCGGCGCUCCGGGAUAGCUCCGGUGGCUGGCGGGCAUCUAGGAGGAGGCACGUGGAACGGAUCGGUGGCCCACAGCGGCUGGCGCAAGGAGUUGUGGGAGGCCUCGGAUACUGCUGCUGGCUUGGGGNGUGGGAGUGGCAGCUGGUUGUUGGGGGGCACGAAAAACGAGGCUAGAGUUAGGGUUUGGUCAGUUAGGAAGGGUUAGCCUUCCUUUUAUAGCCGGGGUAGCUAGGGUUUGCUAUUUGGGGUGUUUUCGGACCCUCCGAUCUCGAUUGGACGGCUCUGGUUUUGCCCUAGGGUUAGGUGGUUGUGUUAGAGGGGUUAGGUGGGGAAGAGAGGGAAAAAUUGUGUGGUCGUGACUGAGUUUUAUAAACCAAAAACCUCCGAUGAUAAACCGAAGACGGUGUCGCUAUGAUCGACCGUUCGGCUAUCAGACAGACUCUGAUUGCGACGAAAUUUGGCAGGCGGUCUACCUACACUAUAUUAAGACGGCACGCCAAGUUAACCCAAUCCGAGAAUAUUUUAUAUGCACUUUUCAAAAAUAAUAUUUUUAACGGUGUCGCGGGCGCGUGCGUGUGUGGUUGGUCUCAAAACGGUCUAUGACGAAAACAGAGAGAACCAGCAACUACUAACAAAUGCAGGUUUUGAAAACUGGCGCAACACAGUGUCGAUGCAAUGAAGAUGAUGCGCCUGAUGCAAUGAUGAAUGCGACAGACAAACGAACCACACGACGAGAACGGAAUUAAAAAAAGGGAAUCUUGUGGAGCAUCGGUCUCGGGUUGUCAGAAAAGCACUGCCCCCUACCCUAAUAUACCCCCCUAGCCCUGGCGGCAUGGUAGUACCAUGGUCAUCGCGGUAGUACUGCUUGGCCAGCGGUAGUAAAUUUUUACUACCUCUCGCUGGGCAGUAGUACCGCUCUUCGAGCGGCAGUAAAAUUUUACUAUCGUGCCUGGAGCGGUAGUACUAUGCCCUCUUCAAAAAAUACACUUUGAACUUUGCCAGAAUAAGAGAAAAGGUGUAGGAAAGCCCAAGAUAAGAUAAAAUAAUGAAACAAGCACAAAACAUGAACAUAGAACUGAAUCUUCUGACGAAGAGAGGGCGGUGGCCGGAGCCACCAAUGUUUGAGACAAAUGCUAUGACACCACAAAGAAUUAUCCUUGGGUUCAUGACCAAAGCUCGUCUUUGAAGCACAAGUGCAAUCAACAAUGGCUAAGGUGAAAGACGUGAUCAAUUUAUGCAUAAUGGGGGGAGGGAAAGUUCAUUGAGAGAACAACACUCCCCCUCCUUGCUUGAUAUGAUCUCGAAUGAAAUGAUGACGAAUAUCAAUAUGCUUGGUCUUGCUAUAUUGCACCGGAUUGAGAGAUAUCUUGAUGGCACUUUCAUUGUCACAUAUAAAAGGCACUUUGUCACAAUUGACAACCUAAUCCUUUAAAGUUUGCCCCAUCCAUAAUUAUUUAGCACAACAACUUGCGGCAGCUACAUACUCGGCCUCGGUGGAAGAAAGUGACACACAGUUUUGCUUCUUCGAAGACCAACUUACCGAAGAGUGACCAAGGAAUUGGCAUCCUCCAGAAGUUGACUUCCUUCCCACACGGUCUCCAGCCCAAUCCGAGUCAGAGUAACCUACUAGACUAAAGCUUGCUCCUUUGGGGUACCAUAAAGCCAAAGUUUGGGGUAUGAGCCAAAUAUACAAAGACUCGUUUGACUACCCCAUAGUGGAUUUCCUUUGGUGCGGAUUGAAACCGUGCACAAAUUCCCACACUCAACAUGAUAUCUGGUCUAGAUGCACAAAGAUAAAGCAAGGAUCCAAUCGUGGAGCGAUAUACAUUUUGAUCCACUGCUUUACCAUUGGGAUCAUUGUCAAGCUUGCAUUUGGUUGGCAUGGUAAAUUUGGCAAGCUUGACGUCCUCGAGCUUGAACCUUUUGAGCAUGUCUUGAGUGUAUUUGGCUUGUUUGAUGAAUGUUCCUUCUCUUCCCUGUUUGAUCUCAAACCCAAGAAAGAACUUCAACUCUCCCAUCAUAGACAUCUCAAACUUCUCGGUCAUUAGUGUAGCAAACUCUUCAUUGAAAGAUGCGUUAGGAGAACCAAUAAUAAUAUCAUCAACAUAUAGUUGGCAUAUGAACAAAUCCCCUUUUACCUUUUUGGUAAAAAGGGUGGGAUCAAUUUUCCCAAUUUCAAACCCACGAUCUUGCAACAACUCGGUAAGGUACUCAUACCACGCACGUGGGGCUUGUUUAAGGCUGCAGAGCGCCUCCUUGAAUUUGUAUACAUGAGUGGGGAACUUGGGAUCCUCGAAUCCUGGGGGUAGUUUGACAUAUACCUGCUCAUUUAAGGGACCAUUAAGAAAAACACUCUUCACAUCCAUUUGUUGCAACUUAAAAUCAUGAUGAGAAGCAAAUGCAAGCAACACGCGAAUAUAUUCAAGACGAGCAACAGGGGCAAAGGUUUCACCAUAGUCGAUACUCUCGACUUGGGAGUAUCCUUGAGCCAUCAAUCUUGCCUUGUUUCGAAUGACAACACCAUUUGCAUCCUUCUUGUUCUUAAAUAUCCAUUUGGUUCCAAUGACAUUAUGUUCCUCCGUUGUCCUUGGCACUAAUUCAAAAACUUGAUUGUGCUCGAAGUUGUUAAGUCCAUCAUGCAUGGCUUCAAGCCAAUCCUCAGCAUCGAGCGCAUCAUGUACCUUUUGGGGUUCAACACACGAAACAAAGGCAUGAUGCAAACAAAAGUUUGACAAUUGUUGACGAGUAGUUACCCCCUUAUUGAAGCUUCCAAGCACAUUCUUGAAGAUAUGUUGUCGAACCCAGAGCCUGUUAGCUAUCUUGGCGGCGCAGCGCUUCAAUACUUCCUUACUGGGUAAUUUAGGAGCGUCUUCUUGAACAUCUUGAGCACUGUCUUGAACUUGCUCACUAGUUUUCCCUUGAUACUGUGGUUGCACUUGAUCUUGAGCAAACUCCGAGUCUUGAGCAUGAACUUCGACAUCAUUUGGUGCAACACCAUCUUCAUGAGGUUAAUCUUGUCCUUGAUCUUCUUCAUCGGGUUCAGGGCCUUCACUUUGUUCUCCGGAAGCGUGUGGGUCUAGAGAGGGUGAUGGCUCCACUUGAGUAGAGCAUUGUCCUUCUCCUUCGGCCACAAGGGGUUCCUCAAUGUGGAGUAUUUGACCAAUCCCCAUUCUUCUUAUGGCUUGAGGAGGAAUUUCAUCACCUACAUCACAAAGACCACUUUUCUCCACUUGGCAGCCAUUAUUUUCAUCAAACUCUCUGUUACACGUCUCCUCAGUGAGUCCGGUGGACUUGUUGAGAACACGGUAAGCAUGAGAGUUUUUAGCAUAACCAACAAAUAUGCCCUCAUGACCUCUAGCUUCGAAUUUAGGCAAACGAACACCUUUCUUGAGUAUGAAACACUUACAACCGAACACCCGGAAAUACUUGAGGUUGGGCUUAUUCCCGGUAAGAAUCUCAUAUGGAGUCUAGUUCAACCCCUUGCGGGGGUAGAGCCGAUUGGAUGCAUAACAUGCGGUGUUAAUUGCUUCGGCCCAAAAGUUGUACGGAGAUUUGAAUUCCGUCAUCCUGGUUCUUGCCGCGUCCAUCAAUGUUCGGUUCUUCAUUUCCGCCACACCGUUUUAUUGAGGGGUAUAGGGUGCUAAAUAUUGGUGCUUGAUCCCCACGUCACUAAGGAACUCAUUCAAGGUGUAUUUAUUGAACUCGAUGUCGUUGUCACUUCUAAUCAUCAAUAUCUUUGCUUCAUGUUGACGUUGAGCUUCAUUAGCAAAGUCAAUGACAGUUUGUUGAGUAUAACUCUUCCUCUUGAAGAAGUAUACCCAAGUGUAUCUUGAGUAGUCAUCCACAAUCACCAAGAAAUAAUAUCUUCCCCCAAGACUAUCAAAAGAUGAAGGACCAAAGAGAUCCAUAUGAAGGAGCUCCAAGGGCCUUUUCGAGUAGAUGAUAGUUGUGGGACGGUGAGCCGUUUCAUGAAGCUUUCCUUCAAUACAAGCACUGCCAGCACGGUCUGUGGCAAAACUCACAUUUGUUAGUCCAAGAACAUGGUCCCCUUUGAGGAUACUUUGCAAAGAUUUCAUAUUUACAUGAGCUAGCCUGCGAUGCCAAAGCCAACCCACAUCAACUUUCGCCAUUAGACAAGUCAUGAUCUUAGUAGGUUGCUCCGAAAAGUUCACCACAUAGAGACCGUUCUUGACACGUCCAACAAAGGCUACUUUAAGAGUCUUGCUCCACAAAAGGGCCAUGGUAUCAAGAUUAAAGAAUGUGGCAAAGCCCAUAAUUGCAAGAUGACGAACGAAAAGCAAAUUGUAUGCAAGGGACUCAACAAGCAUGACCUUCUCUAUAGGUAAAUCUUCACAGAUGACCACCUUGCCAAAUACCAUUACCUUAGAUGUUGAGGCAUCAGCAAAUUGGACAUGGGUGGGCACAAAUGGAAUGUGACGCACAUCCACCACCAAGUCCUUGCUCCCGGUCAUAUGAUUUGUGGCUCCACUGUCGAGCAACCAUGACACUCCACCGGAAGCAAAUUCCUACAAGAGAUCAAUGCUUGGAUUUAGGUACCCAUUCUUGAAUGGGUCCUUUGAUGUUAGAAACAAGGUUCCUAGGAACCCAAAUAACCCAUUCAAUGUACUCAUAAUGAGAACCAACAAAUUUAGCAUAAACAUGCCCAUCACUAGCACGACAUAAAACAUAAUAGGGGUUAAAGUCACCCGCUUUGUUGGUACAGGUGGUUUUGCUCUUCUUGGCAUUAUCACCCCUUCCUUGUUCUUCAUCUUCUUAUGAGUACUCUCACCCUCUUUGACAAAAAUGUCCUUGAGAGGGGAAGAUAGGUUGGUCUUGUUCUUCUUUUUCUUCUUAGACGUGCAAACCCAAGUCCCUUCUUUCCUACAACUUCCUUUUGAUUACUCAAAAGGUCAUUUAGGUUCUUCUCACCUUGGAUGCAUCUCACAAGGCCCUUUUCGAGUUGUUCUUUAACCUUAGCAUUUCCUCCACAAGAUGCACAUGCUCACAACAAGGGUUAGUAGCACAAGCAUUAUCAAUUAGAACAAAAGGAGGACAAGUAGAAAUCUCCUUGGUUAGUUUUACUUGGAGUUGAUCAUGAGACUCCUUAAGAGAGGAAUGAACACCUUUCAAGACCUUGUGGGCCUUGUCAAGUGUGUCAAAUUCUUCCUUGAGUCUAUCAUGGCCAAUCCCAAGUGUAACUUUCUCAUAUUUAAGCACACGGGUAAGAACAAGAGCAUGAUCAAGAUAUUUUUGCAAUUUAGCAUGAUCAACAUUGUGUGACUCCUCAAGAGCCAAACGAAGAGGGCGCUCUUAUUUUAAAGCAAUGGAUAGUUCUGCUAUCUCAUCGGCGUAAUCACGACUAUGUCCCACCAACUUGGAGAUAGUCUCCUCAUGAGACUCGAUGAGAUCAUUGGCCUCACCAAGUUGUUCCAAAAGAGCAAUAAAGUGUUUUUUGAUCUCACCUUUGAUCUUACACAUGAAUUUGUCAAACUCAUUUUCAUCAAGCUCCACUACUUCACUAUCAUCAACACAGUUUAACAAUGAAGGAGAGGUAGUGAUAGUGGUCUUGAUGUUGGGGGUUACCUUAUUUGUACCUUUGGCCACGAGGCACUUGGCGAUGCGGAUCUCGUUGGUGGCAUCGAAGAGAGACAUCUUGGGGGAGGAAGUGGCAAUGGCCACGGUAGUCGUUGCCAUCCCCUCAUGGCAUGUAUCAUCAUUUUCAUCAUCGGAGGUGUACUCUUCAUGAGCCACCAAACCCCUUGGANNNNNNNNNNNNNNNNNNNNNNNNNNNNNNNNNNNNNNNNNNNNNNNNNNNNNNNNNNNNNNNNNNNNNNNNNNNNNNNNNNNNNNNNNNNNNNNNNNNNUUAGUAGGCCGUGCGCUUUGUCGUCUGCCAACAGACGAUGAAUAAUGUUUGCCGUGUGCUGGCAGUCGGCAAAAAAGCAAGUCGGAUGACCUAACCAGGUCUAGGGCCCAAUGGGCACAGUUGGGUCCUUUGCCAUCUACUUUUGGGCUUUUUGCUGUCCGCUAGCAGAUGGCAAAGAAAGGCAUGACGUCAAAUACGUUAUUUGCCAUUAGUCCCUUCUUUGUCGUCUGCUUUUUGUAAGCUGAUGGCAAAAACCGUCUUUGUCGUCCGCUAGCACACAACAAAGAAGUGAUAGACGGAAAAUUUCCUGAUUCUAGUAAUGACUCGAAAAUUCCGAGAUGAAAUCAAUAGGCAAUAGAAGGUUGGUAUGUGCUCUUCGAUGGGACUGAGUUGUUAGGGUUUAAGUAGUCGCUCGAUCAAGUGUAACUCGGAGAAUCUAGUGUUUCUCGUGGGUCUGAUUUGAAUUUUGGAUUUUGGACAGGUAAGAAUGUAAGGGUGAAUGUAAGGGUGUGGCUGNNNNNNNNNNNNNNNNNNNNNNNNNNNNNNNNNNNNNNNNNNNNNNNNNNNNNNNNNNNNNNNNNNNNNNNNNNNNNNNNNNNNNNNNNNNNNNNNNNNNAUAUAAGCCACCCCCCUCCACAUAGCUAGGGACAUUUUCUUCUUCUCCCCCAGCGGGCUCAUUCCUUCCCUAGAGCUCUAGCUCUCUCUCUAUACCUUGUAACUCAUGUCCAUGACAGAUAAAACAAAGUCUCGCCAGAGCACGAGACGUAGGGUUGUUAUCUCCACUGUGAGAGGCCUGAACUCGCAAAAACCACUGUGUCACCCAUGUGCAUCUUGAUAGAUCAUGCUUCGCUAUCCUACCCUCUUUCUAUUGUCGGAAUCGUUACCACAACAGUUAGGAAAACCAAAAAAGUCAUGAGGUUCUCUUCGGCUCAUGUUGGGGUUCACUUCCUCAUUUGAUGUGGUUCCGUCGCGGUCCACUCUUGUUCAUAAAAAGUUAGAAUAAAUGACAAAACAGAAAUAAUGAAGUUCGCUUGACUGUGUGAUGUAGUGCGCCUUUCCGUCAAAAAGGAGUGCGCUCUUCUAUCCGAUGUGAUUCACGCGUCGGUUUUUUACCGUGAAAAACAGAGUGUCCGUGUUUCGGUAAAACCAAAACUGCUCUUAAAUCGUAAGGAAUAAGNNNNNNNNNNNNNNNNNNNNNNNNNNNNNNNNNNNNNNNNNNNNNNNNNNNNNNNNNNNNNNNNNNNNNNNNNNNNNNNNNNNNNNNNNNNNNNNNNNNNUGCCAGAGCCGCGCGUGGCGACAAUUUAGCGGCCGGCACCAGAGGCCGUGCAAGGCGACGAUGAAGCGGACGCCGCCGGCGGCGAGAAAUCGAUGUGCCACUUGUGGUUGAAGAAAAAUAACCAUAUGCAUCAUGGCUCAAUAGACGCUAUGCGCCACGGUGGGCGCCAACUGUCGUGGUAACGAUUCCGACAAUAGAAAGAGGGUAGGAUAACGGAGCAUGAUCUAUCAAGAUGCACAUGGGUGACACGGUGGUUUUAGCGAGUUCAGGCCUCUCACAGUGGAGAUAACAACCCUACGUCUCGUGCUCCGGAGAGGCUUUGUUUUAUCUGUCAUGGACAUGAGUUACAACGGAUAGAGAGAGAGCUAGAGCUCCAGGGAAGGAAUGAGCCCGCUGGGGGAGAAGAAGAAGAUGUCCCUAGCUAUGUGGAGGGGGGUGGCUUAUAUAGAGUGCGCCACCUCCUCACCUCUUAUGUUACAAGAUGGGGCAUUGAUGCCAUAAUGUCAGCCCACUACAGAUGUCUUGCCGACUGUUGGUAUCCGCAUGACCGAGUGAGUCAUACGGCCGAGUGGUUGACUGUCAUCCGAGUGGAUGGAAUGUNNNNNNNNNNNNNNNNNNNNNNNNNNNNNNNNNNNNNNNNNNNNNNNNNNNNNNNNNNNNNNNNNNNNNNNNNNNNNNNNNNNNNNNNNNNNNNNNNNNNUCUCAUCUAUCUUCUUGCACUCGUUGUGUGUGUCUAUUAAUUCUGGGGGAGCAACGAUCCUAUUUUGUGCACCUAUGUCAAAUACAAAAAUCUCAUAUUAGUGCACAAAUCAUGGGGAGCUUCUCUAGUUUUUGAUAAAGCACUAUGUUGCCUCUAUCAUAAUAUCUUUUAUUCAUGUGGUUCGAAGGACCAUAUGAUUGUGUGUUCCAUCUGGAAUUCUUUGAUUGCUUGCCUCCAUCUUUGUAUGUCUUUGUGGCAUACGAUCCUUUUAUUUGCAAUCUUUGGGUCCUCAAUAUAGUUUGUUUUCCUCCAACUACUUAUCAUUGUAUUUGUGUAUUUUUCUGCACUCAUUUGCUGAGAAGUACACACUUUUUGGAGGACCACCUACUAUUUUGGCUUUCUAAACUUGUCGUCCAUUUUGGCAAUCGAUGCCAAUGGGGGAGAAGUUUAGAGAGUUUACUUUGGAUAUGUUUAGAGGGUUUUGCUUUUAUUGCGUAAGCAUUUACAUCUUGCACACAUGCAUUAUUACCUUGUAUGUGUGCGCUUGGUUAUGCUUAUUUCUUUACAUAAACUCUCUUGAAGUGGUUGUCUUCAAUUACCAAANNNNNNNNNNNNNNNNNNNNNNNNNNNNNNNNNNNNNNNNNNNNNNNNNNNNNNNNNNNNNNNNNNNNNNNNNNNNNNNNNNNNNNNNNNNNNNNNNNNNUGGGAAAGGUCACCACAUGGUAAGAACCCAAAACCAAGCACUUCUCCCAUUGCAAGAAUCAUAGAUCUAGUUGGCCAAACAAAACCCAAGACUCGGAGAGACUUACGAGGAUAUCAAAUCACGCAUAUAAGGAAUCAGCAAAGACUAAAAAAUAUAUCAUAGAUAAUCUGAUCACAAAUCCACAAUUCAUUGGGUCUCGACAAACACACCGCCAAAGAAGAUUACAUCGGAUAGAUCUCCAUGAAGAUCAUGGAGAACUUUGUAUUGAAGAUGCAAGAGAGAGAAGAAGCCAUCUAGCUACUAACUACGGACCCGUAGGUCUGAAGUGAACUACUCACGAGCCAUUGGAGGGGCGAUGAUGAUGAUGAAGAAGCCCUCCAACUCCAAAGUCCCCUCCGGCAGGGCACCGGGAAGGGUCUCCAGAUGAGAUCUCGCGGAAACGGAAGCUUGCGGCGUCGGAAAAGUAUUUUCGUGGAUCCCCCGAUUUUUUGUUGUAUUUUAGGGAAUAUAUAGGCCAAGGAUCUAGGUCAGGGGGUGGCCAGGGAGGCCACAAGCCCUGCCACCGCCGCCUCCCCCUGGUGGCGUAGUGGGGGCUUGUGGGCUCCCAGGAGUCGUCCUGGCUUNNNNNNNNNNNNNNNNNNNNNNNNNNNNNNNNNNNNNNNNNNNNNNNNNNNNNNNNNNNNNNNNNNNNNNNNNNNNNNNNNNNNNNNNNNNNNNNNNNNNGAAUUUCCCUUGUAGUCCUUAAACUAAUAAUGAGGUGCCUUUGGGUAGGACGUAUUGGUCAGACCUAUGACCCUACCCUAGGGCUAUAUCCCCGUCAUUAGCCCCCGAAUGGAUCAGGGUCCGAGUGGUGAAGGUGUCGAUGUAAAUUUUGUAGCAGCAGACCAAACUUGAAUGUGCUUCAGGGCCUUGCAAAAUUAUGCGUUGAUUGAAGCCUUCAUCAUUCGCCCUGAUCGAUUCCGCUGAGUAGUAUGUCCGAGUGAACUUAAGAACUGAAGUAGAUCCGAGUGACCAACAGGAUCUUGAGACUUUGACUGACUGCUGGUAGUCGGUUCGAAUCUGUUGAAUCUGUUGAACUUGGAUGUUGUUGGUGGACCUGACCAAGCAGAAUGUUUCUUUUUUGUAUUUCUCUUCCUGUGGGGGCACGCUUAGUGCACCCACUGGGUGUAGUCCCCGAGCCUCUGUCGGACUAGAUGAGUCUGGCAGAGGGUUUAAGACUUCCAGCGCUUGUCGUGUUGAAUGUUUGUUGAAUCUGCAUUAUAUGAUUUCUAGAUCAAAGUCAAGUCUCCGAGUGUAUUUUUUAACUUAGACGAUACGGGGUCGCAGCUAAGUUCCCGAGUGUGGAGCGUGUCUGUACUCGGAGUAGUUUUUACUUAGGUGAUACAGGGUCGCAGUGAAGCCCCCGAGUGUGGAGCUUGUCCGCAGUAAGAGUUGUUUUUAACUUAGGCGAUACGGAGUCGCAACUAAGCNNNNNNNNNNNNNNNNNNNNNNNNNNNNNNNNNNNNNNNNNNNNNNNNNNNNNNNNNNNNNNNNNNNNNNNNNNNNNNNNNNNNNNNNNNNNNNNNNNNNGUUCCUUUGACGUUAGUUGUGCGGAGUGAUGAUCAGCGAAUAAAAGUAUACACUCAAGUAUGGAUCAUCAGUACUCUUUUAUGAUUCUUGAGUCCUUAGGGAUCCCGCACUAUUAAGAGGGGAUCACAGGUUUUGCGAUGAACUUGCUCAAACUACAUCAUCACUUUCUGCUCAGACCACAUCUCCACUCCUUUGCUGUUAUCUGUAAACAGAACAAGUGCCUCGGACAUUCGGCUUCCUCCCGAUGUCCGAGGGCCGGACGACCGACUCCCUCGGAAAUCCGGAAUCCUAUACCAGAGAAAUCAGAGCCAUUUAACUCAGACUUCCGACUCCCUCCGGACGUCCGAGGCCCGGAUGUCCGGCCAAGUCCUGGAAAUCCGGAAGCCUGCACCAGUAGAAGUUGAGUUCUAUAUCUCGGUAAACCGACUCCCUCCGGACGCUCGAGGGCCGGACGUCCGGCCAGGUUCCGGAAAUCCGGAGGUCAACACCAGUAGAAUAUGUGCACUAUAUCUCGGAAAUCCGGCUUCCUCCGGAUGCCCGACCACCGGAUGUCCGGCACUCAUCGGAAAUCCAGAAGCCACCACCAGUAGAACUUGUGCUGUAUAACACGGACUUCCGGGCCACUCCGGACGUCCGUAUACUGAUGAAUUCAAAUAUGUUCAAGCACACCUACAGGCCUCGGACGACCGACCCCUGUCGGAUGUCCGGUCGCUAUUUAAUUCAAAAUAGUUUCAGUCGUAUCUACAGGCCCCGGAUGACCGACCCCUGUCGGACGUCCGACCCCUCGCGGUCGCCCGGACUUCCGACAACUGUCGGACGUCCGGACCCUGUGUGACUUAAAGUGUCCCCAACGGCUCUUUUUCUCUCCANNNNNNNNNNNNNNNNNNNNNNNNNNNNNNNNNNNNNNNNNNNNNNNNNNNNNNNNNNNNNNNNNNNNNNNNNNNNNNNNNNNNNNNNNNNNNNNNNNNNGAAAUGUGUUCUUAUGAGGAUAAGGCUGUGUUGGGCAACCCUCUCACGAAGUGGGAGGGGGGUAUUUAUAGAGUGGAGAGAAAAAGAGCCGUUGGGGACACUUUAAGUCACACAGGGUCCGGACGUCCGACAGUUGUCGGAAGCCCGGGCGACCGCGAGGAGUCGGACAUCCGACAGGGGUCGGUCGUCCGGGGCCUGUAGAUACGACUGAAACUAUUUUGAAUUAAACAGCGACCGGACGUCAGACAGGGGUCGGUCGUCCGAGGCCUGUAGGUCUGCCUGAACAUAUUUUAAUUCAUCAGUAUACGGACGUCCGGAGUGGCCCGGAAGUCCAUGUUAUACAACACAAGUUCUACUCGUGGUGGCUUCUGGAUUUCCGAUGAGUGUCGGACAUCCGGUGGUCGGGCAUCCGGAGGAAGCCGGAUUUCCGAGAUAUAGUGCACACAUUCUACUGGUGUUGACCUCCGGAUUUCCGGAGCCUGGCCGGACAUCCGGCCCUCGGGCGUCCGGAGGGAGUCGGAUUACCAAGAUAUAGAACUCAACUUCUACUGGUGCAGGCUUCCGGAUUUCCGGGACUUGGCCGGACAUCCGGGCCUCGGACGUCCGGAGGGAGCCGGAAGUCCGAGUUAAAUGGCUCUGAUUUCUCUGGUAUAGGAUUCCAGAUUUCCGAGGGAGUCGGUCGUCCGACCCUCGGAUGUCCGGAGGAAGCCGGAUGUACGAGGCACUGGUUCUAUUUACAUAUAACAGCAAAGCAGGGGAGAUCUGGUGUGAGCAGAAAGUGAUGAUGUAGUUUGAGCAAGUUCAUCGCAAAAGCUGUGAUCCCCUCUUAAUAGUGCGGGAUCCCUAAGGACUCAAGAAUCAUAAAAGAGUAUUGAUGAUCCAUACUUGAGUGUAUACUUUUAUUCGCUGAUCAUCACUCCGCACAACUAACGUCAAAGGAACNNNNNNNNNNNNNNNNNNNNNNNNNNNNNNNNNNNNNNNNNNNNNNNNNNNNNNNNNNNNNNNNNNNNNNNNNNNNNNNNNNNNNNNNNNNNNNNNNNNNAGUUAGAAUACAGUACCUUAUGCAAUAAUUAAAUAUGAAUAAAUUUACAACAAUAACUAAAGUUUAUGAUUUGCCUAUUAUACUAAUGGAUCUUGUCGGAGUCUUGGAUCCGCGUCCAAGAAACUCUCUCAAGAACUAGGGUUCGAACACUGGGGGGCUUUGCUUGGCAACCUACGACACGAUGACAACUACGACGAGGUCGACAACGAGCUCAUUCAAUCUCACCGCACACGCCGGGGAUGCACGAGCUACCCAGGUUUGGGCCACCGUGCAAUGUAAUAAACUACUCCUGCGUGUGUUGGAUUGCCUUGCAAUAGAGGGCUUGUGGCUCUAGGUAAACGAAAAAGUGAGGGGGGGGGGGAAUGGGUUGAUCCCCUUACAUGGAAGUGGCACUGCCCCUCUUGUAGUGCCUUGGUCCUCUUCCCUAAAAAUAUGAGAGGGAAAGGGUGGCCACAGGGCGGCAAUUCAAAGAAGGAAAAAAGCGCAGGCCUAUCCUGACUAAAGGUGGUCUUCGCGUGCUAAAGUAGCCAUUCUGACGCGCCGGUCAACUUGGUGACGACCUCCAUCCUAGCGAGCCGCGUCAGCAUGGUCGUCUUUCACCGGAAUGACAAGCUUUGGGAACCUCUUUUGGGGGAGGCUGCGAGUUGUGCACUUUAAUCACCAAAGAGAAAAUCCUUCCUAUUCGUGCCUGCUGGUACAACCUCUGUCGUCCUGGUCCGCUCGGGUGCGUCACCCACAUGAUGGGUAAAAUUUCUCCCUAAGUGGUUUUGGUGAUUGAUGACAAUGCGAGUGCGGACUAAUCAUGUGCAUUGAGCAUUUCAGAUAAUUCAUGACUAGGCACAAGACGAUUCGGUGCCCCUCGGAGUCUUUCAAAGACGGUUGCUUUCUACGUUUCUGUUUGGUGGAUUUGAGUAGUAGCAAAGCCAUACUAUUAAGAGGGGGUCCGCUUCGGAAAGGUUUGGGUGGAAUCUACGCGUACACAUUUCCAUUGCACCACUUUUCCCUUGCUUCAAUGGAGCUCCAACAUGUUUUCCCUAUAUGUGCAAAAGGGCCAGCGGUAGUACCGCAGGCACAACGGUAGUACCGCCCGCUCUCUAGGCGGUAGUAGUUUUUUACUACCGCUCCGUCGGACUUUUUACGCAUCCUUUUGCCUCAGCUUUGGUAGGCAUGGUAGUAAUUUAUUACUACCAUGGUUGGUGAACUACCAUGUGGUAGUACCGCUCCUAGCAGCGGUAGUACCGCUCCUGGCAGUGGUAGUACCUCUCCUAGCANNNNNNNNNNNNNNNNNNNNNNNNNNNNNNNNNNNNNNNNNNNNNNNNNNNNNNNNNNNNNNNNNNNNNNNNNNNNNNNNNNNNNNNNNNNNNNNNNNNNUAACUAUUGGUUUCUUGGAUUGAUGGCAUUGGUGCAGGUACUCCAGAGUCCAUCCAACACAAUCUUGAAUGGUUCUAGACUUGAUAAAGCCAUAGUGAUUCUUGUGAAUACACUUCAUGAUCUGCAACUGCAACCUGUUGGCUAUCAUUUUGGACAGAAACUUGAGGCCCAUCCCAGUGAGGGAUAUUGGUCUGUAGUCUCCCACUUGCUCAGGUGAUCUCUUCUUGGGAAUCAAAGUAAUAUAAGAUGAGUUCAUGUUCUCAAGUUGAGCAUUACCAGCAUGAAAGGCAGCAGCAAGUUGGUAAAACUCAGGAGAGAUAAUGGACCAACAUUUCUUGAAGAAAAGGCCAUUGAAACCAUCAGGUCCAGGAGCCUUGUCAAUUGGCAUUUCCUGAACAGUCUUGUCCAUUUCAGACUUAGAAAAAGGUUGUGUGAGAAUAUCAAGACCCUCCACCUUCUGAAGCAGAGAUUGUAAAUCAAAGGCCAUGUUAAUUCCAAGGGAAGUUCCCAUUCUAUCCUUAAAAGAUGCCCAAAAGCAUGCAACAAUUCGAUCAUGAUCAGAUAUGAUGGAUCCAUCAUUUAACUUGAGUGAUGCAAUGGAGUUCCUCCUAUAUCUCUCAGUUGCCAUAGCAUGAAAGAAUUUGGUGUUUUCCUCACCAACUUUAACAAAUCUGAUAGUGGCUCUCUUUUUCCAGUAUAAGCACUGAAGAGGCAAUAGGUGCUCCAAGUGUAAUUUAAUAAUACUCCUGAAGUUAGCUUCAGGUCUGAAAAGGGGCCUCAAUUUCUCAAGCUCAUCCAAACACAACACAACUUGAUUGCAUCUGGAGAUGAAAAUUUUCAGCUGUGAUAAGUUUGUCUGCCAUCUUUUCAGAGCCUGCCUGAGAUGUUUCAUCUUAUCCAUAAUGACAGCAGUAAUAUGGGCUUUCUUGGAAGGAAUGACCCAGGACUGUUGAACACACUCCAUGAAGCCCUCCAUUUCAACCCAGUAGUUUUCAAACCAAAAUAGGUUGCACUUAGGGAUGGAAGUGUUGACAGUGACCACACAUGGAACAUGAUCGGAAGCUGUCUUUGCAAGGGGGAGCACUUGUGUAAGAGGAUAUGAAGAGAUCCAGUUGGCUGAUGUGAAGAACUAGUCAAGUUGCUCAAGAAGAGGGGAAUCUUGCAUAUUGGACCAAGUGAAAGAUCUGCCCUUAAUAGGUAGUUCUAGUAAGCCCAGAUGACCAAUAAUUUCAUUGAAGAUGAACAUAUCAUUUACAUCAGCCCCAAGGAGGUUUCUGUUGUCAGGUGAUCNNNNNNNNNNNNNNNNNNNNNNNNNNNNNNNNNNNNNNNNNNNNNNNNNNNNNNNNNNNNNNNNNNNNNNNNNNNNNNNNNNNNNNNNNNNNNNNNNNNNCGUAGAAAGAGAGUGGUUGGCGUCCCUUUUAUGGGCGAUGCGGUUCAGGAUCCGCCAUGGCCGUGGAUUAUACUAACUUGUUGGUACGAAAGCAAAACUGGCUCGGGCAGAGGUGGGGUGGGGUGGGGUGGCUUGGGUCGAAAGGUUUUGUUGCUGUCGGGGCUUCGAUGGAAUGGUUAAGGUUGACGUGCAGCGGAUGGAAUUAGCAGCGAUCGCCCGCUGACUAGUAAGGCCUACGCUACGCAGUACGCACGCAUGCAACGGUCUUGUUGCGCAGCCAUUGCCAAGCUUGAGCGAUGAGCGGCUCUAGUGUAUGUACACUAUCUUAUCUCUCGUUUUAACAUCCUUCAUGUUGCAGUAGGGUAUGUAACAUGGACGGCGGUGCGACAAGGUGAAGGCUCAAGGAUUUAUUUUUCUAUCCUAUAAAUACAUGGUAUGCUUUUAAUUUGUACUCCUAAAAAUUACACAUGUGAAUACUAGUGAAUGUCUUUAUAAACUUUGUCAACAGCUAAAAUACCGUAUGAUUUCAAGCCAUAGAAAUAGAAUGGAUAUCAUUUCUACCCGCUGAGAUGACAUGAAUGAAAACACACCUUAUUUAGAAAUUUCCUCAUCAGCGUCCCCAAUUAUAAACACCGAAUUAACACAAUAUGCAUGUUUUACCAUCCUCCGCUCAAGGCAUCUUCAACGCUAACCCGCAAAUUUACUUCGGCAUCUGUCCACGGAGGGGGCGGAUCAGUCCGUACACACUGAUGCGAGAGGCCGUCAUACAACAAUAUCCGCAUACAAUCCAACCACUCGUCAAAUCAAAUGGAAGAAAUUCAUGUAAACAUGACAUAUCUCAUAUAAACUGCAAGAUAUUCAUGCACACACGAUGGAUUUCAUAUAAAUCGGACGGAAUUCAUUACAUUUCAGGUAUACUUUAACUGAAAGCGGAGCUCAUCCGACUCUAGAGGUAUAAUUUUAGAAAUACUUCAAACAAUCACCUAAACUAAAUGAUCGUUGGCACGUGUUCCCCAUGUUCGUCCAUGAGUCCCGAGAACUGAAGCUCAGGCACUUGCCUUCGCGUUCUCCAGUUCGGCAUCGACGCUCCCCAGAUGUGCCUCCGCAGCCUUCGACACCAACGCUUGAGUGGCUAAUCGGCUGGCGAUUUUCGGCCUCGCAAGCUUGGUUUCAGCCGGGACGUGUUGAAAUAUGCCCUAAUGGCAAUAAUAAAUGAUUAUUAUUAUAUUUUCUUGUUCAUCAUAAAUAUUUAUGAUUCAUGCAAGAAUUGUAUUGAUCGAAAACUUAAAUACAUGUGUGGACACAUAACAUCAUUGUGUCNNNNNNNNNNNNNNNNNNNNNNNNNNNNNNNNNNNNNNNNNNNNNNNNNNNNNNNNNNNNNNNNNNNNNNNNNNNNNNNNNNNNNNNNNNNNNNNNNNNNCACCCUCUAGAAGAACCUAACCUCCGUGCUAUCUUCACAAUCAUGGCUUCCCGCAUGAUUUUUUUUGGUGUGUUGUGUUGUUUUUUAUGUAAGUGUAAUUCAGAUACGCUUUGUAGCAUCUAAAUGGCCGUCUUGCUCAUUGGCGGAUGUGCGCUCGGGACGUGAUGAACUUCUGUCUUACUUGUCCCAGCGAUAACACUUGAACUUCCCCGGGUGCUAGGUUGAACUUCUGCUAAAAAGUGUACAAAUGGGGCUCGCGAUAUACCGUUGGAAAGCUAUGGACACCCUCGUAACAUCCUAGGUUGAAUUUUUUGUCAAAGUUUACACGGUUGAAGAGCAGUUUCAAAAACUAUUUUUCUUCAUACAAAAAACGCGAGUCACAUUUUUUAGCCUAUUUCUAAACCGUUUAUCGGAAUGAGGCAAAUGAGAUGGCAUUGGAUAGCUGCUACAAAUCCGCUCAUUUCAUAUGUUGAAAGUUUUUCCAAAUACCCUACGGUUAAAGAGGAAUUUAAAAAAUGGUGUAGUUUCUGAAACCGAACAGCUGCGUUCGUAUUUCGGGGUUAAUUUGAAGAAGGCCUGCCUAAUCAUCGCAAAUGAUAUGUUGUUGGAAAGUUUAUGAAAAUGCACACCUUUUCAUAUGAAAAGUUUCUUCCAACUAUAAACGGUUUAAAAAUAAUUUAGAAAAUGGCCAAAGUUGUAUCGAGUUUGUAUUUUUGCGUUAAUUCCUCAAUGGUUUGUCGGAAUGGAGCAAAUGGUACAGCGUUGGAAAGCUUGAGAAAAUGCGAAACUUUUAUAUGUAGAUUGUUUUUUACAAUUUUUUACUGUUUGAAUUCAAUUUAAAAAAUAGCUAAAACAUUUUUUGGCCGUAUUUUUUACAAAAUCUAUCGGAAUGGGGCAAAUAAUAUACCGUUGAAAAGCUACGGAAAAUACAAAACUCUUUCUUGUAGAUAGUUUUCUCUAAUUACUAGCCGUUUUCAAGAAAUCCUGAAAACAACGAGAUCAUGUGUUCUCCCUUUAGCGCGAAACAAAGUGUUCGAAAAUGCACCGAGUGAAUAACUUGAACUUCUUGGCUUGUCUACUUGCACUUUAGUCUGUUUUUCACGUGUUGUUUUGUGCUCGUAACUCUCCAUCAACUUAUUGGAAUUGAACAUGUGAUAUACCGAAGGAACGCUGCUGUAAAGGCACAACUUUUCCAUGUUGAUUAUUUUUUCAUACUCGCGAUGGUUUAAAAGAUUUUCAUCUCAAUUUCAUUGAGUGUAGUAGUUGAAUUUUCCGCUGUUUUUGUUAAACUUCUGUCGCGUAUUUUGUUUUGUAAUUUCUCAUCGAUUCGUCGGUGUUACACAAAUGAUAUUCCUUUUGUACAAACCUCUCUCAUGAUAAUUAUUUAACUUUCUCCGACCAAGGACUUGAACUUAUAGCAACACGAAAUUUGGACCUUGCCUUUUUAUUCAUUUUUCUCAUAUUAAACACACACCAUGUAGUAGGUGAAUUUCUCUGUUUUUAUAACUUUAAAAUUUUAUUUCCUUUUUGAAAUCAUAUUGUGUAACACCCCAGAUGUAAUCNNNNNNNNNNNNNNNNNNNNNNNNNNNNNNNNNNNNNNNNNNNNNNNNNNNNNNNNNNNNNNNNNNNNNNNNNNNNNNNNNNNNNNNNNNNNNNNNNNNNUGUAUGUAUGCUCAAAUAACACAAGUAAACCACAAGUAAGGAGUUAGGGUUAAGGAUAACCAAGGUCACUGAGACAAAGAUGUAUCCUGAUGUUCACGACUUUCCGCGGUUCUAUCAAUUGCUCGACAGUAAUUUGUUCACCCACCGUCUACUUGCUUUCAUGAGAGAAGCCACUAGCAAACACUACGGUCCCCGGGUCUAUUCACAUCUAUCGUUUACACCUCCACUUUUACUUUGCUUUGUUACUUUGUUGCUUCCAGUUCUCACUUGGCGAACAAUCUAUAAGGGUUGACAACCCCUUUCUAGCGUUGGGAGCAGGUUUUUUGUGUUUGUGCAGGAUCUUGUGAUACUCCUCCACUGGAUUGAUACCUUGGUUCUCAAACUGAGGGAAAUACUUACCACCGCUGUGCUACAUCACCCUUUCCACUUCGAGGGAACACCAACGCAAGGCUCCAUAGCCGUAGAAGAAGGAUUCCUGGUGCCGUCGACACGACUAUUCCUGUCGCCGUUGCCGGGGAAGCACAUCUGACAUCAGAAGUAUUUCUGGCGCCGUUGCCAGGGAGAAUCAAGACAAGAACAGUCUCCCGUCAGCACGUGUUUCUGGCACCGUUGGAAGGUCUUUUGUUGCAGUAGCAGAAGUAUUUCUGGCGCCGUUGCCGGGGAGGAGAGAUCAAGAUCUAUCCAAGUAGGUCUCACAAACUCAUCUCCUACAUUUACUUUUUUGCCAGUUGCCUCUCGUUUUCCUCUCCCCCACUUCACAUUUGUCGUUUUCAUUCGCCUUUUUCCUUUGCCUUUCUCUUUUGCCAUUUUCUUUUGCCCAUUUCAUUCUCUCUUCCUGCUCGUUUGUGUGUGAGAUUGUCCAUCAAUGGCUAGACAAGAACAGUCUCCCGUCAGCAUGUGUUUCUGGCGCCGUUGGAAGGUCUUUUGUUGCAGUAGCAGCGGGCAAUGCGAUAGUGCCACCCGUGCAGUUCAAUAGCUCCCCAACGGCGAGCGACACCGAAUUUUUACCUCUGUCCCAUGUUGCUCUGGUUUCCACGGGCGAUGAAGGUCAAACGACGGAGCUCACCCCCGUGCAGUUUCAGAAAAAUAUUUUUACUCCUUUUAAUUCUGGAUGGAUUUUGGAUGUGCAAUGCAGUGUAAUGCACCUUUUUGUCUAUUUCAGAUUUGUUUGUACAGUGCAGUGUAAUGCGUUUCUCUGCUUGGGGUCGUGUGGUGCAGUUCGGUCGGGUCCUCUUGACCCGCGAGGUUGCAGGUUGCGACGUGCGGAUAAGGGGAUCAUGCGGUUUCCGUGAGCAUUUUUGCAGUUUUAAUGGAUGGAUGUUUCAAUGUGUUUUUUUUGUUGUGUCUAUGAAGAUGUAUGCAUGUUUGUAUUUCUUGUACCCAUGGAGAUGUAUGCAUGUUUGUAAGAUGGGUGUGCCCCCAAAAAUGAUGCAGUUCAAUAAUCUUGACCAUGUGGUCCACAUCCGGCUACAAAAAAAGUUAGUGACGGGGAUAUAGCCCUAGGGUAGUUUCAUAGGUCUGACCAAUACGUCCUACCCAAAGGCACCUCAUUAUUAGUUUAAGGACUACAAGGGAAAUUCNNNNNNNNNNNNNNNNNNNNNNNNNNNNNNNNNNNNNNNNNNNNNNNNNNNNNNNNNNNNNNNNNNNNNNNNNNNNNNNNNNNNNNNNNNNNNNNNNNNNUGUAUGUAUGCUCAAAUAACACAAGUAAACCACAAGUAAGGAGUUAGGGUUAAGGAUAACCAAGGUCACUGAGACAAAGAUGUAUCCUGAUGUUCACGACUUUCCGCGGUUCUAUCAAUUGCUCGACAGUAAUUUGUUCACCCACCGUCUACUUGCUUUCAUGAGAGAAGCCACUAGCAAACACUACGGUCCCCGGGUCUAUUCACAUCUAUCGUUUACACCUCCACUUUUACUUUGCUUUGUUACUUUGUUGCUUCCAGUUCUCACUUGGCGAACAAUCUAUAAGGGUUGACAACCCCUUUCUAGCGUUGGGAGCAGGUUUUUUGUGUUUGUGCAGGAUCUUGUGAUACUCCUCCACUGGAUUGAUACCUUGGUUCUCAAACUGAGGGAAAUACUUACCACCGCUGUGCUACAUCACCCUUUCCACUUCGAGGGAACACCAACGCAAGGCUCCAUAGCCGUAGAAGAAGGAUUCCUGGUGCCGUCGACACGACUAUUCCUGUCGCCGUUGCCGGGGAAGCACAUCUGACAUCAGAAGUAUUUCUGGCGCCGUUGCCAGGGAGAAUCAAGACAAGAACAGUCUCCCGUCAGCACGUGUUUCUGGCACCGUUGGAAGGUCUUUUGUUGCAGUAGCAGAAGUAUUUCUGGCGCCGUUGCCGGGGAGGAGAGAUCAAGAUCUAUCCAAGUAGGUCUCACAAACUCAUCUCCUACAUUUACUUUUUUGCCAGUUGCCUCUCGUUUUCCUCUCCCCCACUUCACAUUUGUCGUUUUCAUUCGCCUUUUUCCUUUGCCUUUCUCUUUUGCCAUUUUCUUUUGCCCAUUUCAUUCUCUCUUCCUGCUCGUUUGUGUGUGAGAUUGUCCAUCAAUGGCUAGACAAGAACAGUCUCCCGUCAGCAUGUGUUUCUGGCGCCGUUGGAAGGUCUUUUGUUGCAGUAGCAGCGGGCAAUGCGAUAGUGCCACCCGUGCAGUUCAAUAGCUCCCCAACGGCGAGCGACACCGAAUUUUUACCUCUGUCCCAUGUUGCUCUGGUUUCCACGGGCGAUGAAGGUCAAACGACGGAGCUCACCCCCGUGCAGUUUCAGAAAAAUAUUUUUACUCCUUUUAAUUCUGGAUGGAUUUUGGAUGUGCAAUGCAGUGUAAUGCACCUUUUUGUCUAUUUCAGAUUUGUUUGUACAGUGCAGUGUAAUGCGUUUCUCUGCUUGGGGUCGUGUGGUGCAGUUCGGUCGGGUCCUCUUGCCACCCUCGAGGUUGCAGGUUGCGACAUGCGGAUAAGGGGAUCAUGCGGUUUCCAUGAGCAUUUUUGCAGUUUUAAUGGAUGGAUGUUUCAAUGUGUUUUUUUGUUGUGUCUAUGAAGAUGUAUGCAUGUAUAUAUUUCUUGUACCCAUGGAGAUAUAUGCAUGUUUGUAAGAUGGGUGUGCCCCCAAAAAUAAUGCAGUUCAAUAAUCUUGACCAUGUGGUCCACAUCCGGCUACAAAAAAAGUUAGAAAAAACAACAAAGUAAUGAGGUUCACUUCAACUCAUGUUGGGGUUCACUUCCUCAUUUGAUGUGGUUCCGUCGCAGUCCACUCUUGUUCAUAAAAAGUUAGAAUAAAUGACAAAGCAGAAAUAAUGAAGUUCGCUUGACCGUGUGAUGAAGUGCGGCUUUCCGUCAAAAAGGAGUGCGCUCUUCUAUCCGAUGUGAUUCACGCAUCGGUUUUUGUAACGUGAAAAACAGAGUGUCCGUGUUUCGGUAAAACCAAAACUGCUCUUCAAUAGUAAGGAAUAAGAGAGAGAGAGAGUUCUACGUAAAAAAAGAUGUGCUUCAUCGAUACCUUUCCAACGUCGUAUCAUUUGCAUCGUUCUGGCAAGCGGUUUGGAAAAAUAUAUGAAAAUAAGCUUGCUGCAACUCAUAGGCAGUCGCGCCGUUUUUAAAAUUCAUUUAAAACCGUAUGGAAUCUCAACAAGUGGUCAGUUUAUGAAAGUUGUGCUUAUUCCACUGUUUUUCAACGCUGUAUCAUACACCUUGUUCCGACAAACACUUUUAAAACUGCACCAAAAAACGUAUAGAAAAAACUAAAAAAAUUAAAAAAUAAAAUUCCGUUUUUAAAUAANNNNNNNNNNNNNNNNNNNNNNNNNNNNNNNNNNNNNNNNNNNNNNNNNNNNNNNNNNNNNNNNNNNNNNNNNNNNNNNNNNNNNNNNNNNNNNNNNNNNCUGCCUGCUUCGUCGUCGCCACGUGCGGCCUCCAGCGCCGGCCGCUUCAUCGUUGACACGCGCGGCUCUGGCACCGCCCGCUUCGUCGUAACCAUACGUGGCCGCCGGCGUCGUCUGCUUCAUCGACUUCUCCAACUUCGUUGUUAUUGAGCACACACACAACCGUCAAUGCCGUUCGUCUCGUCGUCGACUCCGGCCUCGUGUUAUCGGCUGCUCGGCGGCAACCUUCGCGGUUGAGGCUCAAGGCCGAGCCGACGCAGGCACACAACGCUCCUUCCUCCUUCACCAGUCGUCGGCAAGGGUCUCAUGAGUCGAGGCGCGCUGUGAUGACAACCUACGAAUCAGCCUUGAUCUGUAACGGGUAGCCGGUCAAUGCCUUGUAAGUGCAUGCAUUACGUGGGUCUUUUACUUGAUUAAUUCACCGCAUGCAGAAAAAUGGUAACGGAACGACGUGGCCGUUCAAUGCCUCGUAAUGGGCCUAAUGGCCUCAUUAAAUGGCUCAUAAGGUGAGGUACGAUCGCAUCAAUUUAGUAAUUGCUGCAUGCAAAACUUCCAUCACACUAUUUUCAGGAAUGGUUAAUAUUGCAUGCAUGCAAGUAUAACCAUCCGUGGUAUUUAUUCCUUGUAAAAUAGCAUCUAUUCUGGCACGUUUUGAUCCAGCAAAAUAUAUAUUCGUAGCUAUACUUGCUACUAACUUGCAGGGUCACUCGUUCGUCAUCGUCCCCGAACAACAGUUUAUUUGAACGGACUAUCUAUUCGAGUCAGACGCGUCAUCAUCACUCGGUCGCCCUGCAUGCCGUCGCUCAGUCGAAAGCAUCAUCAUCACUCGGCCGCUCUACGCGUCGUCGCUCGGUCGGACGCGCGUCGUUGCUUGGUCGGACGUGCGUUGUCAUCACUCGGCCGUCCUGCACAUCGUCGCUGAGUCAGACGUGCGCCGUCAUCAUUCGGCAGCUCCGCACAUCGCCACUCAGCCGGACGCUCCAUCGUCACCCGGACACUCCGCACGCCGUCACUCUACUGGACGCGUCGUCAUCACUCGGUAUCUCCGCACAUCGCCACUCAGCCGGACGCUCCAUCGUCACCCGGCCGCUCCGCGCGCCGUCACUCUACUGGACGCGUCGUCAUCACUCGGUAGCUCCGCGCAUCGCCACUCAGCCGGACGCGUCGUCAUCACUCGGCGGCCCUACAUGCUGUCACUCACUCGGAUGCGUCGUCAACGCUCGGCCGCCCUGCGCGCCGUCCCUCAGUGGGACCCGUCGUCAGCACUCGGUAGCUUCGCGCAUCGCCAGUCAGCAAGACACGCCAUCCUCACUCGGUUAGAGACUCCUUCGUCACUCGGCAGCUUCGUGUGCCGCCACUCGAUUGGACGCUCCUUCGUCACUCGGCAGCUUCGCGCGUCGUCACUCGGCUGGAGGCUCCUUCGUCAUCUGGUUGCUCUACGCGUCGUCACUCGGCCGCCCCGCGUGUCGCCACGCAGAUAGACGCGUAUUCAUCGCUUGACCGCCCAACAUGUCGCCACUCAGCCGGACGUGUCUACUUCGCUCGACCGCCCCACGCGUCGUCAGGCAGCUAAGUCAUUUUUCACAGACUGCAUUCUAUUAAAUAAUCGUUUCUACAUUACCGAGUGUCGAGGAAGUCGCACAUGACGUUCACUCGGAGGCCACGCCACCGAGUGUACCUAUGCACUAGGUUGUUUAUUUUUAUGUGGGAACACUUCACUUCCACUUCGUUUUGGUCCAGUACUCAAACGAGUUUAGUCGAAUGCUUCACUUGCAUAAGUACAGUCGGAUCCUGCACAAGUACAACCACGUGGCACACCCACCGGGUGUCUAUGGGUGCAAUUUACACAAACUAUUUCAGAAAAUAUCAUAUUACUUUGAUAAUUUUUUAUGUUGGCUUGUGCUAUUUUUCAUACACAGGUAACUCGACGCAUCCGUGCGCCAUCCUCGUCGCUGCUCAGGCUCAGUCGCCGCAACGAUCAUUCAUUCGUUUUCACGUGUUCGGAAGCCCUUUCAAUGACGUAGUGGACACGGCCGCCCCGCGUGCCGUCGGUGGGUCGGACGCCUCCUCGACAUACAUCACUUGGCCACCCCACGCGUUGCCACAUAGCCAGAAUCGUCUACCUCACUCGGAUGCCAUGGGCAUCGCCACUCCGUGUGGCACGUCUUCAUCAUUCGGCUGCCCUGCGCGCCACCGCUCAGCUUAGCUGCGACUCCAUAUCGCCUAAGUUAAAAACAACUCCGAGUGCGGACAUGCUCCACACUNNNNNNNNNNNNNNNNNNNNNNNNNNNNNNNNNNNNNNNNNNNNNNNNNNNNNNNNNNNNNNNNNNNNNNNNNNNNNNNNNNNNNNNNNNNNNNNNNNNNCCUAGAGGGAGAGUAGGCAAAUUUGUCAAAACGUUUAGGACAGAAACACUUGACUGUACGAAAAUCAAUAGACUGCAUUUUGGUUUCUUGCAAGCACACCACGGCAGCUAGGCUCUCAUCAAUCUUGUUACGAACCGCACGUUGUCUAUGGUCCGAAUUUAGGCCACGUACAUUCCAACACAGCACACGCCAACUUCUCGUAGAACGACUAUCCAUUGGACGAUAUAUAUAGAGCAAACGCAGGGAUAUGUAAUAGCCCUUGCAACCGAGGUUCAGUUAACCAAAAGAUAGAGCAAACAGUAGUCUGACAGUACAUGGAGCCAGUACAGCAACAAAUUAACAUAAGAGGACUAAUCAUCUGCAGAUGAAGGCGCGGGAUUAGCUGGAUCUUCCAUAAGACGAUCCACAGUCAGCUUCUCAGGGGUGAUGCCAAGCGUGUGCCCGAUCGCCUGAAUCACCGGAAUAGGAGUGGCAUGAGGAACUUGCACAUCAGCAGACUCCUGCGCUGGAAAAGGCAUUGGCUUGGCCUUGGACUUCCUCUUCUUGGGGGCAUGCACUGGUAGCUCCUGCAAAACCGGUUUGAAGCCAUCCCGCUUGAUGGAGCCGCGGGUACAUCGAUGAACAGAGGAGUCAACGACAGGAGUGGCCUUCUUACGGGUCCCUUUCUUCGUUGGAGCAGGAGAUGGAAAGGAGAAGGAGUCCUCUGCAGACAAAGAGGGGCUGACUGGGAUUACCUCAUCCAAGGAGAGUGUGUUGCUUGCUGGCUCUGGUGGUGGCAGCGCUGGGGCAGCAGUAUCGAAAGCCACCGCCCAGGAUCGCUUGGGGAUCACAAUGGGCAUCACCAUUGGCAUCUGCAGCUGGUGAGGGACAUGCAUGGAGGUAGCAGCUCCCAUGAAAGCAUCAAAAGUUCGGGACCAGGAUAGUACUGGCGGUAGAGGAGGCCCAUAAAAAACCCUGGCAGCCCCAACAAAAAGAUUGUCAGACUGAACCUGCGGGAGUUUGUACGGGACGAUCGCCAGAGGAUUGUCGUGCUACGCCUCAUCCUCCCCUUGCACAUCUUCCUCCGGCUCCGCAGCAGGGGCCUGAACAACCGGUGCCAUAUCAGCGUCACGGGCGGCAGGGUCAGCAGCCAUUACCACAUCCAGGUUGGGAGCAGGGGGAGCAAGAUCAGCAGGUUCUGCCUCAAUGUCACCCUGCGGCUGAGGGUCUAGGUCGACAUAUUGUUGGAGGGAUGCGAAUGUGAGCUUCUUACGAACUGAUGAUCCAGUUUUAAGAGAAGAUUUUAGAGGUCUGGAAUGCAUUGCCAUCAAACCUAGUGAGGCUCUCCUCUUAGAUGGACUCACAAUAAUCCAUUCAGCAUCACAUUGUUUCUUCCACAGAGGGAAUUCCCGACGCCAACCGGACCACCAUGUCCCCAUAGAUGGAAGAAGCACUUAAAAUUUGAGCAUUUGAACGAGCGCAAGUCCAAAAUAUGAAAACCAACUUGCAUGCAGGACACUUUGAAGGAGAAAACCGAAUCUGUAACUUGCGAGACGCGAAACUCAAUGGUAGAGCCCCCAAUCACAGAUUCUAGAGCUGCGGCGACCGUGUCCUCAGAGAGACGGAACACAUGACGACCAAAAGAAACCACCAUGAUGAAGGAGCGGUGGUGCUUCAUAGGGUGCACCGUAACACCAGAAUGACGAUAAACCUCAUCGGCGAAGGCCAAACCAUGAGAAAAAUCCAGAUCCAACGUGGAACCACCCAUGCAAGCCAUGCACGACCACGUGUGGGGGGUCGGGAGGGUUCACCUGAGCAGAAGAGCGGCGAGGAGGCUGGAUACGCCGGCUAGAGCACCAGAUCGCCAUGGGGUCACCGAGGUGGGAGGUGGGAGUCGCCAUCUAUUCCACAUGAAAGAAGUUACAAAGGACAAAUAUGCUCCUCAAAAGGGGUAGUUAUCCAAAGGGAUACGAAAACUUCCACCUUCAUGUGCAUUGAAUAGUUAGAGAAGUUUGAUUCAUCUCAAUUAGUUUUGAGUUGUGGAUAUGGUAAUAUUGAAGUUAUGCUAGUAAGGUGUUGUGGAUCUAGAAAUACUUGUGUUGAAGUUAGUGAUUCCUGUAGCAUGCACGUAUGGUGAACCGCUAUGUGAUGAAAUCUGAGCAUGAUUAGUCUAUUGAUUGUCAUCCUUUGCGUGGCGGUCGGGAUCGCGCGAUGGUUUAUACCUACCAACCCUUCCCCUAGGAGUAUGCGUUGAAUGCUUUUGUUUCGAUUACUAAUAAAACUUUUGCAACAAGUAUAUGAGUUCUUCAUGACUAAUGUUGAGUCCAUGGUUUAGAUGCACUUUCACCUUCCACCAUCACUACCUUCUUAGUGUCGUGCAACUUUCGCCGGUGCACAAAAACCACCAUUAGCCUCCCUCAAAACAACCACCAUACCUACCUACUAUGGCUUUUUCAAAGUCAUUACAAGAUAUAUUGCCAUGCAACUACCACCGUGACAUGUGCCAUCACGUCUACAUUGCCAUUGCAUGAUCGUAAGAUAGCUAGCAUGAUGUUUCCAUUAAUGUCUAUGCCAUGCUAGAUCAUUGCCACGGUACACUAUCGAAGGCAUUCCAUAUAGAGUCAUAGUNNNNNNNNNNNNNNNNNNNNNNNNNNNNNNNNNNNNNNNNNNNNNNNNNNNNNNNNNNNNNNNNNNNNNNNNNNNNNNNNNNNNNNNNNNNNNNNNNNNNGAGCGUUUAGAUCACUACUUUAGUGAUCUAAACGCUCUUAUAUUAGUUUACGGAGGAGGUAUGUCUUUCUUGGGGAAAAUAAGAUAAGUAUGUGGCAUAAUAGGGCUAACUAGCAUGUACGAAGCUAAGUAUGCAUUUGUUAAUAGGACUUCCAAUUUUUCAAGAAUCGCUCCCCUCUUUAGAUUCACUGCAUACCCAUCGGGGAACAUCAACUGCAUUUUGACCCACAAGAUAAUUUCCCUCAUAACUUCCCUUUUUAGAUUGAACCAGACCUUUGGCUUCGACUAGUUCUGCUUUCCUUUAUAUUGUCGCAUGUUUUGUAACGGUCUAUCAAAUAGAUUCUGCUGAUCGACUCUAGCCUUAGGAUUAUCAUUUGAUUUCUCCUCUAUGCCGAACAAUGUACCAAAUAUGGACUCUUCGAUAUUAUUUUCAGUGUGCGUCAUGUCGAUUUUGUGUGAAAGAAGGAGGUCUUUGAAGUAAGACAGAUCCCACAAGUAUGUCUUGUGAGUCGAGGCGUGUUUCGAAUUAUACCCCUUGAAAUACCCUGGAUGCUCCGGAUAGGGCUCAAGAGCGUUUAACUGAUCUAGGAUCUGUUGUCCUGUCAACGCAGGUGGUGCUGAGUUUUUGACAACUUUACCUUUGAUAAAGUUCUUCUUGUCUUUUCUGAACUGAUGGCGAGGAUCGAGGAACUGUCUUGCAAGUCAAAGAAAGAAUACUUCCGACCCACUGCAGCCAAUGAAACUGAAGACCUGCCUUGCAUGUGGGGCACGGGAACCUUCCAUGCACACACCAGCUAGCGAAUAGCGCAUACGCCGACAAGUAAUGCAUCAAGUACAUGUACCACACAUGCAUUUUGAAGUUUUCUUUUCUAGUGGCGUUGUAUGUCUUGAAUCAAUUAUCACACGCUUCUUGCAAUUCAUCCUUAAGAGGCUUCAUGUACACAUUCAUAUUCUUCCCCGCAUAGUUCGGCCCUGGAAUAUCAACGUCAGGAAUAUGUUCUUUCUUUCCAUAAUCUGUCCGGGGGGAAUCGAGUGGAAUGAAAAAUACAAACCAACUACUGUAUUGGGUUGCCGUCAUACCAAAGGGAUUGAGCCCAUACUUGUGAACACAGACUCGAGGAUGCCUUGGAUCUGCCGCUUUAUCCGGAUGUAAUGCAUCGAAGUGCUUCCACGCUUCCGCUUCCGAUGUGUGUACAAAAAUCUUAUUCCCAUCUGCAUCUAGUUCGAUUCUUUUGCCCAAUUUGUGCCAUGUCAUCUAUCUGGCCGUCUCUUCGACCAUGAAAAGACGUUGAAGUCUUGGUAUGAUUGGCAUAUACCGAAGAACAUUAACUGGGAUUUGGUCUGCCUCUUCUCACCCAUACCGUUGUCUACCACAACAUACCUGGAAGACUUGCAAAUGGGACAAUAGUUAAAAUCCACAUACUCAGGCCUAAAUAAGGUACAUCCUUUCUGACAGGCAUCUAUCUUAUCAUUGGGCAUCUUAAGUAAGCAGAGUAUUUUGUUCCACUGGUACAGGUUUAUAGGCAUGCCAUGGCCUUUGGGAAGAAAGCGUCCAAAUAGUGUCAUCAUCGCGUCAUAGCAUUCUCUGUCCAAGUUGAAUUGAGCCUUCAGAGCCAUUACUUGUGCGAUGGCAUCCAGCUGCCAAAGCUCAGUGUGCUCGUGGAGAGGAUGUUUUCAAGACUCCAACAUUUCAUAGAAGGCCUUUGCAGAUUCCUCCAUCUCAUCGUCUGAAUCCCGAGCAUCAUCAAAGUCUUGCAACAUGUCUUCGAUCCCGGUACCAUGCUCGUCGGUGCGAUGACGAACCACCUCAGCUCUGGUACGUUGGGCAGACUCACCAUGAAAUUUCCACACCGUAUAAUCAGAUGUAAACACCCUCUUCUGUAGGUGUUUACCCAUUUCAUCGAGUGUCCUCUUUUUAAAGUAGUCGCACCCAGGACAGGGGCACCAGGUUUUUCUCUCGCCAUUUGCAAAUGCGGCUUUCACAAACUCCUUGCUUUUUGUUAACCAUUCUUUGGUCAUCUCUUUCUAACUAGUGCGACCGGUGUACAUCCACACACGAUCACUCAUCUUGCCUAGCUACUAAACACACAAGAAAUAUAUAUUAAUUCAGCAUAUAUAUUCAUGAGUUAAUCAAGAUUGUCAGUUUUAUUACGUCCAUGCAACCUACACGCUAAUAGGUAAAGAUAUGUCCUAAUUCCACCCGAGUAUGUGUAGAUUGGGUUCGUUUUCCCAUGCUCUGCUCCGGAUCCGAUGCAAAAUUUCGACUGCACCUCCCCGCCCUUCUCCUGAUAUACGUCUCGACAAUAAACAGAGAGGAUGUGUACCCGGAGUACAACAGAGAGGCACUGACCAAAUUAUGCAUCGGAUUCGGAGUAGAGCAUAUGGGAAAAUGAAUCCAAUCUAUAGAUACUCGAGUUGUCCAUGGAUAACGUUGGACAAUUUGAAAGAAUCAUGGUUAUAAAUACAUGCAAAUGCAUGCAUAUUUAUAAUUGUAACCCUUUCGAAUGGGAGACGCAUACUGGUCACGCAGACUAAUGAUGUCAUUUUUGCUAACCCAUGAACGCAGGGGCGGAGCUCGUUGAAAGCAUGGGGAGGUCGUUGAACACUAGACCCUCGCAGUGACGAAACAAUUGUACAUUUAAAUCCACCCAAUCAACACAAAUAUGAUGUUUUUAUAACAAAAUCAGAAAAUAAAUGGCCUAACUCAUAAUUUACAAAACUAUGACCCCGUCGGCAUCUGGAAGGCCGAAGAGCACCUUUAUGGUCAACAGGAAUCCGAAGAGGAGUCGGGGGUUGGGGUGAGUGGCGUCGGGAGCGACGUAUUAACAGCUCCACGGGGGAUUGGAAUGUCGAUCUAUCAGUGGCAUCUUCCCAUCACCACAUGUAGGCGCAGGUGCCUAGNNNNNNNNNNNNNNNNNNNNNNNNNNNNNNNNNNNNNNNNNNNNNNNNNNNNNNNNNNNNNNNNNNNNNNNNNNNNNNNNNNNNNNNNNNNNNNNNNNNNCAUAGGUAAUACCUACCAUAUGUACCCACAAAGUGAAUACCGCAACAAGAAUCAACAUUGCCAUUACCUUGUUUGGAGGUAAAUCAACCAGAUAGGUGGUAGUUUCCCUCCUAUCAUCUUAGAUAUGGAGGGAAAAAUCAUGGAUCAAGAAAUGGGGAUUAUGCGGAAACAAAGCAAUAUGUUGGAAAUGUGACUGCCUAAUCUCCAUUUUCUGUGACUACCUUUUUUAUGAAGUACAUUUCCAUUUGCCGAAACAAAUUUGUGAACAUAUCAGAUCAAAACUUGAUUGAUUCUGUGACUGCCCUUUUUAUGAAGUACAUUUGCAUUUGCAUCCUUCUUUAUCUUCUAGAACAAAUAAGGCGGGAGUUAACACAAAAUUAUAUGCUACAACCAUGUUAUCUGGCUUCUAGUGGAGGCCUGGAUGAACAGUAUGAAGAGAUUAAGUUUUCUUCUUAAAACUGCCUGACUCUACGAACUCUUCCUGUAGAAAUGACCAGAGCAGUUCAAUAUAUUUGAUAUCCAACAGUUGUAAUGCUGAAUAUUAAAUAAAUGUUUGUACAUGGUUGAUAGUGCGACCAAGUAAUUUAAGGAUAAGCCAAGUAACUUGACAAUUUUGUUCACAUCAAAAGCUAUCUAUAUACUACUAUAUAUUUGAUAUUGUUGUGCUCAUAGACUUUUGUUCAAAUUAUUUACAGAGGAAGACGACGAUUAGCUAUUCAAAUUUGUUUGGCGACAACCGGGCUUUCUGCAGUUUGCAUUGGUCAGAGAACAUCCAUGUGUAGUUUCUGUAUGAAGACUGUCUCGCGUUUCAUCUGCGGUAGUGUAAUAAACUGAUGUUUUACUAUGCUCGGGUUGUCCGGGAGACCAUUUACGGUACUUGAAUCUGAUUGAUUACCCUCUCUAAAGCAUUUUUAUUCAAGUUCAAAUGAUGACAUCAUCCAUACCCUCUUUUGAUUGUGCAAAGCAAAUGAUCAACUUAUCUACCUACCUCAUUCUUUUUGGUGUCGCUGCUAGGCAGGACGUUCUUGAGGGAUCUCAAUGAUGACUGGCAAAUUUUGUUUUUGAACUAUUUUUAUUUCUUAGAAAUUUGCAUCGCUUGUACGCAC